RNAcentral lists this long non-coding RNA (48083 nucleotides) under Triticum aestivum (bread wheat). Its description in RNAcentral is "long non-coding RNA (TAES_LNC028517)". The record is from RNAcentral. Lineage: Eukaryota; Viridiplantae; Streptophyta; Magnoliopsida; Poales; Poaceae.
GUUUUUUUUUCUGGAGAGAUAUUGAUGCCAACAUAUGGUCUGUAGAAGUAAGGAUAGAUGUUUGAUAUUUCCACGUCACUUUUUGGGUGCUACAUUAAUCCACUCCAUUAUGCAUUUUUCCCGCUAUGCCGAUUUUAGAACUACAGUUAUUCAUUCCGCUGCUAUGUUUGUUCCAGCGAUUUGCUCCUGCUGCAGCCGAAUUAAAUGGCACCCUCUAUGUUGUUGGUGGUUAUGAUUUCAGCGACGGCUCAUACUUACAGUAAUGAUUCCUCAGCAUUCUCUACAUUUUUUCAUGAUUAUACCAUUUAAACCUGCAUAAUAAAUGAAAGAUUUUAAUACCCACAGAUCAGCAGAAAGGUAUGAUCCAAGGGAAGGUUUCUGGACCCAGCUUGCAAGCAUGAAGACAAAAAGAGGAUCCCACUCUGUUACUGUCCUGGGGGAAUCUCUGUGAGCCCCCCUCUCCCUCUGUCUCUCUUUCUCUUGACCCUGUGAUCAUCAAGUUCCCAAAAUGUCAACAAAUUACCUUCAGCAAUAUAAUUAGAUGUAUAAUUUUGAAUUCUUUCAUUCACUCAGGCAAUGAGAUGUUAAUAAGUUUGACGUCUCUUAAACAUACAACUACAUGCUCAGCAGUAUAAUUUUUUCUUACAGUGCACAUAUCAAUCUAUGUUUCAGAUAUGCUCUGGGAGGGUACGAUGGAGACCAAAUGCUUUCCACUGUGGAGAUCUUUGACCCUCGUGCCAAUUCGUGGAGGAUAGGCAGCCCGUUCAGCGUCCCAAGAGGAUAUGGGUGUGCGGUGACAGCGGACGAUAAUGUGUACCUCAUUGGCGGGUCUGAAUCCAAUGGAGAAACUGUUGAAACUGUAUGGUUUCUGACAGCUUACUCUGGAUCACUGAUUGUUUCGUCUACGUAUUCAAGCCUCACUCAUUUCCUUCUUUUGUGUGGAUUCGCAGGUGGAAGUUUACAACGAGAGGCAAGGCUGGACUAUCCCUGGCUACAAGGCGAUAGGGAAGAGGGCCUUCGCCUCUGCCAUCGUCGUUUGACAGGGCUGCAGAUCUCAUAUCCUGCCCACAUUUUGCUUUUUGCCGGAGCCAUAUGGACCCCUUCUCCCGUUGCCGGUGGGUUCUGUACAGUAUGAGAUGCCGAUCACAGUAUAACCCUCUUCUCGAAAUAGCCGCUGGGGGUUUGAGAAUUUUUUUGCGGCACGCCCCUGUGCCGAUGUACAGAUGUAACCCAUCAGUUUGGUGCUUGUCUCAGACACCAUAGGAUUGAUCUCACAGCAACACAAGGUCUUGACGCUAACAGAGCACCUGCAGCAUAUCCUCCUGCUGCGUUCUUGAGUGGGCGCAGACGCGUGGUUCCUUGUUUCUGUCUCUUUUUUUGGGCGAUACUUGAUUGCGCCUGAACAAAUUGAACUGAUCGCGGUUCAUGAGUGGCUACUCGGAAAUUUGAAAUGGAAAAACCCCAACUGUUUUUGCAAUGUGUGACCUUUUUUUUUUAUGAUGCGACCCGGGGAUUCUUAGUGCUGAAGCACCAUUUAUUUGUUCUGUUCUUGUACCUAGCUUAGCCAGUAGCUCUGCCUUUUCUGGCAGCCCGUGGAGAUAAAUAGUUCCAUUGCGUCUGUGGCUGUAAGCUUCCUGUUUGGAAUGUUGGACUAUUCUGGCGGUUUGGGUGGGAAAGUUUGGGAUGGAAUGCAACGCUGCUAAGCGAAGAAUAUGGUCCUAACUGACAGCUCCUAACCCCGCCUAACUGUCUAUCUAUUGUAGGGGCAAAGCUUUGCUCGCUCAAGCUUGAGCAGCAAGGCACCUUGAGAGAUUGCCAACCAGCGGAUAGUUCCCAUGGACGAGCAAUGAACCGUGCAUGUGCUGAAAAGCCACAGAGUUAUUUUAUUGCGCAUCCCUCAUUUCAAGCGCAUUUCGGCAUGAAAAUUCACAAACAUGUACAUUAUGCCUCUAGGUAUAUGUGUAAUUUUUUUUAACAUGAAAUAAAGGUAUGGAGUUUGAAUUUUUUAAAAUUCGGCCUUUAUGGAGCUUAUCCUCCAUUCAGGAUUUUCGAUGCAACAAGAUACUCCUCCGCACCGGUCAGUUACUCCAUUUUACAAAUCCACCCUCUAGAAUUCAAAACCUUCCCAGUUCACACCCUCCAGGCCACAACGACGCCUCCCCUCAUAAGCCGCCGCCGCGCUCUAGCUCGAGCUCCUCCCGUGCGACGCCGCCUCCACCAGCGCAUCAGGCUGAGCUCCAGGCCGCGCUCCAGCGUCUCAAGCUGAGCUCAAGCGGCCUCCUCCGCCUCAGGUUGUGCUCCAGCACCAUCCAAGCCAUGCUCCAGUGUGCUGCCUCUGCGCCAAGCUGCAGCUCCAGGCCACAACUCCAGGCGCUCCUCCGCCUAGCUCACGCUCCAGGCUCAAUCGAGGGACGAUCUCACAGAGGAGGAUGGUGAUGUCGGAUCUGAACUUGACUCCUCCACAAGAGGAGGACGAUCAGCAAAAUUAUCCUGAAGAUAAGCAAAACCAAGAAGAGGAGGCAGAUGAUCAUGCAACAUGUACGGAUGCAAUUUACAAUAAUCAGGUAGAAGUAUAAUUUACAGCAGCACCAAAUACUAUAGUCAUGCAAUUUAGAAUGACGCCAAAAAUUUACAACAACGCCAAAUUUUACAGUGAAUUAUACUGAAUGAGUAGUUUCAGGGAGUAGAUUGACAGAAUCAAGUAGUGCACUGACUAAAUUACAUUGUUCAAUCAGGGAGUACACUGACUAAACUUACAGUGGAGUAAUUUGACAAAUUGUGUAAACUUGACUGUCAAACAAUUUACAGGAGUUUGUAAUUUGACACACAGUUUACAUUAAAGUACAUUGACUAAAUCUACUCCUGUAAACUUGAGUAAUUUGAUAAGAGUAAAUCACCCCUCAUUUACCGAAAAAGGGUUUCCCCCCGCUUUGUAUUACAAAGCACCAACAUCGAUCACAUAGCAAUGUUCGGGCGAGAAGCACAACAAGCCCAAAAGGAAAAGAAAGAACAAAGAAGAAAGAAAUGCCAACAACGGCAGCUUGACAAAGCGCGGAGACCCGCCACCGCUGCGCCCUCCGGACUCGACCCACCACAUACCAAGGCUCCGAUCUGCCGCGUACCAAGCAGCACCUCCAAGAAGGGAUGCGACGCCAACGACGCUGCUGCCCGGACGUGUCCUAGGGUUUCCCCCGGCACGCGGAAGGGAGUGGGGGAUGGAUACCUCCGACACCCUCCAGGAAGGAAUGGUGGCACCCGCGGGUGUCACCGCAUCGGAGCCGGAAAAGCCGGCAAGGGAUUUCUCCCGAAUUCCAACCCCACCGCCCAACCAGGCCGGAGCCAACCAGCCACCUCGCCGCCCACCAAUGCGCCACCGCGGUCUUGACGCCACCCACGCCGCCUCACUGAGAUCACCACCACGAGACCAAGAGGAUGGAGAGAGACGCACGAGGCGACGGAAGCAGCAGCACCGGAGCCACGCGGGAGGGAACUACCUCCACCGCUGUCGUGCAGGAGGACCGAGUCUCCGGCACCGUCGCGGUCGCCGUCCGGACGCAGCAGCAGGGCAUACCAGGCCGCCCCUGGCCCGGCCAGACCCAAAUCGGGCCCGUAAAGCCCCGCCGGCCACGCUGCAGCAGGGCGGCACCAGCGCCGCCAGCCACCACCCGCCCAUCGUCGCUCCCCAGCCUCCCGGAAGCCACGCCGACGACCCUCCCCGCCGCCGGCCCGCCCAGGCCCAGAUGGGGCCCGGAGGGCCCAGAUCUGGGCCGAGCGGGCGCCGCCAGAUCGCGCCGCCUCGCCGCCCCGCCGCCAACGGCAGCGCCNNNNNNNNNNNNNNNNNNNNNNNNNNNNNNNNNNNNNNNNNNNNNNNNNNNNNNNNNNNNNNNNNNNNNNNNNNNNNNNNNNNNNNNNNNNNNNNNNNNNNNNNNNNNNNNNNNNNNNNNNNNNNNNNNNNNNNNNNNNNNNNNNNNNNNNNNNNNNNNNNNNNNNNNNNNNNNNNNNNNNNNNNNNNNNNNNNNNNNNNNNNNNNNNNNNNNNNNNNNNNNNNGGAGCACCCCGCGGCGCCGCACCGCCCCGCGUCAGUGCGACCCGAGAGGAGAAAGGCCAGGGGCCGCCGCCGCCAGCGCCGCCCGGGCCAGGCCCAGCGCCGGACGCCAGCGACGGCGGCAAGGAGGGAGGGAAGGGGGAGAGCUCGGGGGCGAGGUGUUGGGGAAUCACCCCUCAUUUCAGUCUUGCUAACUUCAGUUGUAAACAAAACUGAAACAAUACUCAAACAAAAUUCAAUUAUUAAAUUGAAACUGAAACUUGUUGUAUACUCCUAAAUUUAGUACUGAAAAUGAAACUUGGUGUGAAACUGAAACUUGUUGUAUAUUGAGACAAAUAUGAAUAACUAAUGUUGUGAAACUGGAACUGAUGACCCAUAAGUAUAGGGGAUUAAUCGUAGUUUUUUCGAUAAGAUUGUCGAAUCUAAUGAGGAGCAGAAGAAAAUGAUAAGCGGUUUUCAGCAAAGUAUUCUCUGCAAGUGCCAAAAACAGUAGCUUUGCUAGGGACACAGGUGUUUGAUAGCAAGGUGUUUCGCAACAAAUAACAAGUAAUAAUAGUAACAAAGGUGCAGCAAGGUGGCCCAAUCCUUUUUAUAGGAAAGGACAAGCUGAAAGUACUUCUUAUAUUAAGCAAAGCAUUCCUGAGGACACAUGGGAAUUCUCGUCUAGUCACGUUUAUCAUGUUUAGUUGAUUCGCAUUCACUACUUUGAUAAUUUGAUAUGUGGGUGGACUGGUGCUAGGGUGCUAUUCUUACUUGAACAAGCAACCCUCUUAAGAUUACCACCUCUCGCAAGCAUUCGCAACUACAAAAGAAAAAUUAAGAUAAAUCUAGUCAUAGCAUAAAAUAUAUGGAUCCAAAUCAGCCCCUUACAGAAUAACGCAUAAACUAGGGUUUAAGCUUAUGUCACUCUCGCAACCCAUCAUCUACUUAUUACUCUCCAAUGCCUUCCCCUAGACCCAAACAUGGUGAAGUGCCAUGUAGUCGAUGUUCACACACUGGUACGUGUCGGUGCUAUACAAACGGUUUUUUAACCCCUUUCCGCGACGGCAUUUGGAACCGUCGCCUAGUGAGUGUGAGCGAUAGGGGGGCCUUCCCACACGACCCAGAAACCAUCGGGGAUAUGCCCUCCUAGCACACACGCUCGGCAAAAUGAGGUCAUGUGCGACCGGCGAGCGCUCAAAUACGAAAAUACAUACAGUAGAGCUAAAAAAUACAAUUAUACAGGCGAAAUUGUUUCUGGUCGCAAGUACAUCCCACACUGUCAGUCCCCGCUAAACGUUUCCAUUAGUAUGUACAUCCCACACAGUCGCUCCAAGGAAAACAUUUUUGUUCACAGGUACAUCACACACAAUUUUUCCCGUUAAAUCGUUUGCGUUAUUAAAUGUAUCACACACGGUCCAUAGAAGAAACCAUGUGGCAAAGGCUGUCCAUCACACACAGUUUUUAUGUGGUAAACGUUUGCGCAAGGUGGCCUAACGAAAAUAGUUUUCAAGAGAAAAUCGUGUGUGAUUGUUUAUUGAUCCAACACGGUUUAUUCCUAGAAACUGUGUGCGUGGCUGAGGUCAUCGCCCACGGUAUUUUUUCAAUAACCGUUUGCAAUAUCAAAACCUAAUUAGCAGGCUAAUUGCCCUAUUAUUAAUAAUCCAUUUAUUAAUCUAAUUGACAUUCAUAUUAAGCACAUAAUAUAUUUCAUUUCCAUAUUAAGGAAGCAGAAUUUCAUAAUUGAAAUACAUCAGAGUACAACAUGAUAUAGCUUCAGCACCCAGCUACCCCAUUACACAACUGCACCAGCACCAAGUUUCACAUGCAACACGUAGAACCUUUCGAAAUUAGCAUCAUAAAUGGUAUAUAGACAAAUGCAUCUCAUCUGGAAAACUGCUGAAGCGGAAGGCGAAUAUUGAGCCUUCAUUCAUUUUGAAGGUCUUUGCAACUUUAGGCCAGUGCCUGUGGAUGAUUGACCGUCCGUCCUUCGUCCUCUUCAGGAACACUUCAAUAUUGAACCGUGGGUGUUGUAUGAAAACCUUCCUCGCCUCCUGACCAUAGAGGUGGUUUGAGAGGUAAUCAUCAGUGAACUGCUUUGGAAAGGCCUGAAAACAAGGAUGUGCAUAAAUAUCUUCUCUAUAUUGGAAAUGGGGCAAAAAAAAAGGCAAGGUAUAAUAGUUAGUACCAUCUUGUAGUGAACUGAUGUCUUCUUCAUUGUGCAGACAAAGAUCUUGUUGUUUUUUGUCGCUAAUUUCUUUAUCCUAACAAUCUUUCUGAGUUUCUUGAUUUGAUUGAUAUUCAUGGACAACUCAUUUCCCCAUAUGCAAAAAUUGUCGAACAGUGGGUCAAAACCUCUGACAGCAGGACCUACAUGUGCAAGACCAAAUUGUUAAAAACCUAAAUAUUAGAAUGGUUCCUGCAAUUGCACAAUAAUGUGCUAUUAGACAACGGACCAUGCACGUGCUAAUCUCGAUUGUAAACCUCAGUGUUUCCCAUUGUUUCCCUGCAACACAUAUAAGAUAGUUAGUCAUCAGGUUAAGUAAGGGUUCGCAUGCUAUCAGUAAAAUAUGUUGAUGAAAAAUAAGCACAUUGCAGAUUAAUCGGAUUAAUUCAAGCCACAUGGAAAAACAAUUUAUCCAAACCAAGCAAGAUUAAGAACUAGGGAAUAUAGCACUUGUAUAUGUUUCUCAUGUAUUAAGUGCAGCCAAACUCGAUUUAUUCCUCACAUGCACAAUAAUACAAAAUUCUACCCACGACAAUUGGACAUCGCAUUGCAGAAUUGAACCAAGUAGUUAACUAAACACCACAACAAAUGAACCAAACAUUAACCGAGCACCACAUUGCACAAUAUAACAUACUCCUAAUAGAAGAUCGGACAGUUAACCAAACAGUUAACUACAACCAAUUGUAGCAAUUGUAUUUGUUUCUCAUGUAUUUACUACAGCCAAAUUCAAUUUAUUCCUCACAUGGUAUACAAUAAUAGAAUGCACUCACAACUAUUGAACAUCGCAUUGCAGAAUUGAACCAAAUAGAUAACUAAACACCACAACACAAAUGAACCAAACGUUAACUGAGCACCACAUUGCACAAUGUAUAACCAAACCAAGCAUGCUUGACAACUUGGAAAUAUAGCAAUUGUAUUCGUUUCUCAUAUAUUUUGUAAAGAUAAAUUUGAUUUAUUUCUCACAUGGAAGACAAUACAAAAUUGCAACCUGAAGAAUUGAACAUCACAUUUGCAGAAUUAAACCAAAUAGUUAACUGAAGACGACACCUAAUUAACAGAACAGUAAUAAGUGAGCACCACACUGCACGACAUAUAAAACAUAUACACUAAAGCAACAGAUUGGAUGGUAAAAUUAGAUAGCACAAUUCACUAGAAUUUGUGAAGGAAAGGUAGGAGCAGCACACGCAACGGGUAAACCGAGCAUGCUUAACCGGCGUAGCUAGCAAAUGGCAAGGUGCUCCUCCAAGAUCUGGGGGUUGGCACGAAUGGCAGCCAUCGCGACCUCAUCCGCGUGUGCGGCCGUGAUUUGCUUCUCCGCUGCCAAAUGCUCCUUGAGAUCCUGGCUAUAGUGCGUGCACCAUGGCUUAGGGCGGCGCUUAUUUGGUGGAGGGGUCGGUGAUUUGGGUGGAAGGUGCCACGCUCGCGCCGGCGGUCGGGGCAUGUGGGAUGUGGAAGGAGGAGGAGGAUGGGGGUCGGGUGUGGAUUACCUGCCUGGAUAGACGAGGCCGAGCAGCGUGAAGGAGGGUCGCCGAUGAGGAGCGGCGCUGCAAGCAAGGAGUGAAGGUUUCAACUUGAAAAGGAAGGCAGAAAUAGGGGAAAUGUGGCUUUUGGUAAUGGGGAGGGGGCGGGGAGGUAGAUAUUUCCGCAGAAGCCAAAAAUUUGGAACCGCUUCAGCGAAAAAACUGGCGCGCAAAGUGUCAUCAAACACGGUCCCUUAUCCAGAACUGUGUACGAUAUGUGAACAUCACAAACGAUUCAGAUAGCUUAACCCGUGUGUGUUGAGUUUGAAUGUCAAAAAUUUUGGUUCAAAUUUCCAUGGUUACAGUGGUCAUCCACGCCAUUGCAUAAUUUGGGUACACAAAGGAGACUACAGCACACCCACACUUCUUAAUCAAGCAAGUUCAGCAAUUAAACAGAGCUAGCUGACCUAAACAUUACUCUAACAAAUUAAAGACCGUCGCUCUUAAUUAAAAAAACAAAGAGUACUACUACGGCUGGUGCUCGUCGAUCUCCGCCGCCGCCUCCAUGUCCAGCUCGCGCCCGACGGUCUCCUGGGGAAGGGGCUCCAUGGCAUCCAUCGCACCAUACUCGACAAGCAUCUCGCCAUCCGCGUCCACCAUCUCUUUGGAAAAUGCCGCCACGAGCUGGGCGUGGGCGGAGGCGAUCUGGGCUUGGAUGGGCUCCGUCGUCGCAAGGUAUGCGGUGGAGGAACGGACAGCUGCUCGAACGCCCUCGGCGAUUGCCAGCUCUUCGGCCGUGGGUUGCCGACCGUUUCGGAGAAGCUUUGUUCGAUUUGUGCAGUGACCGCCAGGAGCUGGGCAUGGGCGGCCUCGACAUGGUCGUGGGAGGCCUCCAUCAGGGCUAAGGCCGCCGCUGCGGAAUGGACAACUGUUGUGCCGCUCUCGCCAGUUGCUAUCCCCGAGGCAGAUGUUGCUGCCGCCACCUGAGAAGCAACAGCGGCCGUUUGGGCUGCCUUUGCCGCCCGGUUGCAUAUUGCGGGCCAUGCUCAUGCACCUUGUUAGCGGCUGCGGCCGCGCUCUCGCUGGAGUGGGCCACCAAAGUUGCCCUCACGACGCGGGUCCACGUGCCCAUCUUUCACCGGCGAUGAUUGAACAGUGAAAUGAUAUUUGGGGAGCGAGCUAGUGUGCUUGAGAUGCCGGCUAUGGACUGUAGCCGACGCACCUUCUCGCGUAAGCCAUAGGCAUACUAUACACCAACGGUGCUCCAGGAUAUUUUGUGAUGCAUCUCACACGGCUGGUGAUAAUAAACUAUGUGCGAUCUACUUGAUUUUUCAUCUUGAUUUGAAUUACAUAAUGGGGUCACAGCGGCAAUCGACGGUGUUUGAAUUGCUAGACCUUUUAUCUGCAGUGAACAUGCAACUAUAUGUGUGUCGUAAAAUAAUUGGAAUUAUUCAGGGUUCGUUUGAACAUUUUAUACAUUAAAUUGGUUUUCUAGCCAUUUCUGGUGCACAAUUCAAAAUUAAACUACAUGCACAUGCUCCGGUGCACCAACAUGGGUUGUAAAAUCAUAUAUGUGUCCAUGGGUUUAUGCUUAUCUCCCAUGCAAGAAAUGGGGAUGAAAUUCGAACACCACGGCACCGUGGCUCUCCGGCAAACGUCGACGUACUUGCUUUUGUAAUUCUACUAAAUCCAAAAUUCGUCUGAAAUUCAUGAAACUUGGCAUGCUAUCAUGGAGUGGCAUCAACAUGCCGUGGUAAAUUUUUUGUCCCAUUUGGGGCAGGUUUGGGUAUAAGCUUCUCAUAAACCAGAGCUUCUCACAACAAGUGUGAUGGUUUCGGUAGGGAACGUUUCACCUUUCUGGACGAAACGUUAUCCAUUGCCUCUUCUCGAUUUCAAUUUUUUUUCCUAGUGUCAACAUAGAACAACAGGAAUGUUGUGUCAAUUUUUGGGAUUUUUUGGGGUUUGCUUGGACAUUUUUAUACAUUAGCUGAGUUUUCUAUGCAUUCAUGUGCAUAAUUCAAAAUUGAACUACAGGCACAUGCUCUAAUACAUAUAAAUUAGUUAAAAAUUCAAAUAUGUGUCCUAGGUUGCCUGCUUAGGUCCCAUGCAAGAAAUGGGAAUGAAUGUCAAACACCCUUCCACCGUCACUCGGCCGCAAACAUUGAGAUACCUGGUUUUCAAAUUCUAGUAAAUCCAAAACUCAUCUGAAAUUCAUGAAACUUGGCAUGCUAUCAUGGAGCGGCAUCAACAUGUCAUGGUAAAAAAAUUGUCCCAUUUGGGGCAGGUUUGGGUAUAUGCUUCUCACAAACCAGAGCUUCUCACAACAAGCAUGAUGGUUUCGGUAGGGAACGUCCCACCAUUGGGGAUGAAACGAUAUCCAUUGCCUCUUAUUGCUUUCAAAAAAUUUCUCAUGUCAACAUAGAACAACAGGUGUUGUGUCAAUUUUUGUGAUUUUUCGGGGUUCGUGGACAUUUUUGUGCAUUAACUGAGUUUUCAAUGCAUUUAUGUGCAUAAUUCAAAUUUGAACAACAUGCACAUGCUCCAGUGCAUAUAAAUUGGAUGAAAAAUCAAAUCUGUGUCCUUGGGUGCAUGCUUAGGUCCCAUGCAAGAAAUGGGAAUGAAUUUCAAACACCAGGGCACCGUUGAUUGCUGGCAAAACGUUGAGAUACUUUAUUUUUAAAUUCUAGUAAAUCCAAAACUCGUCUGAAAUUCAUGAAACUUGGCAUGCUAUCAUGGAGCGGCAUCAACAUGGCGUGGUAAUUUUUUUGUCCCAUUUGGGGCAGGUUUGGGUAUAUGCUUCUCACAAACUAGAGCUUCUCACAACAAUCAUGAUGGUUUAGGUAGGGAACGUCCGAGCUUUGGGGACGAAACGAUAUCCAUUGGCUCUUAUUGCUUCCAAAAAAUUUCUCGUGUCAACAUAGAACAACAGAAGUGUUGUGUCAAUUUUUGUGAUUUUUGGGGUUCGUUUGGACAUUUUUAUGCAUUAACUGAGUUUUCAAUGCAUUUAUGUGCAUAAUUCAAAUUUGAACUACAUGCACAUUCUCAAGUGCAUAUAAAUUGGUUGAAAAAUCAAAUCUGUUUCCUUGGGUGCAUGCUUAGGUCCCAUGCAAGAAAUGGUAAUGAAUUUCAGUCACGAGGGCACAGUUGAUUGUCGGCACAACAUUGAGAUACCUGGUUUUUAAAUUCUAGUUAAUCCAAAACUCGUCUGAAAUUCAUGGAACUUGGCAUGCUGUCAUGGAGCGGCAUCAACAUGCCGUGGUAAAAUUUUUGUCCCAUUUGGGGCAGGUUUGGGUAUAUGCUUCUCACAAACAAGAGCUUCUCACAACAAGCAUGAUGGUUUCGGUAUGGAAUGUCCCACCUUUGGGGACGAAACAAUAUACAUUGCCUCUUAUUGCUUUCAAAAAUUUUCUCGUGACAACAUAGAACAACAGGAGUGUUGUGUCAAUUUUUGUGAUUUUUCGGGGUUCGUUUGGACAUUUUUAUGCAUUAACUGAGUUUUCAAUGCAUUUAUAUGCAUAAUUCACAUUUGAACUACAUGCACAUGCUCCAGUGCAUAUAAAUUGGUUGAAAGAUCAAAUCUGUUUCCUUGGGUGCAUGCUUAGGUCCCAUGCAACAAAUGGUAAUGAAUUUCAGUCACCGGGGCACCCUUGAUUGCCGGCACAGCAUUAAGAUACCUGGUUUUUAAAUUCUAGUAAAUCCAAAACUCGUCUGAAAUUCAUGAAACUUGGCAUGCUAUCAUGGAGCGGCAUCAACAUGCCGUGGUAAAUGUUUUGUCCCAUUUGGGGCAGGUUUGGGUAUAUGCUUCUCACAAACCAGAGCUUCUCACAACAAGCAUGAUGGUUUCGGUAGGGAACGUCCCACCUUUGGGGACGAAACGAUAUCUAUUGCCUCUUAUUGCUUUCAAAAAAAAUUGUGUCAACAUAGAACAACAGAAGUGUUAUGUCAAUUUUUGUGAUUUUCAGGGUUCGUUUGGACAUUUUUAUGCAUUAACAGAGUUUUCAAUGCAUUUAUGUGCAUUCAAAUUCGAACAACAUGCACAUGCUCUAGUGCAUAUAAAUUGGAUGAAAAACCAAAUCUGUGUCCUUGGGUGCAUGCUUAGGUCCCAUGCAAGAAAUGGUAAUGAAUUUCAAUCACUAGGGCACCGUUGAUUACCGGCAAAACGUUGAGAUACCUGGUUUUUAAAUUCUGGUAAAUCCAAAACUCGUCUGAAAUUCAUGAAACUUGGCAUGCUAUCAUGGAGUGGCAUCAACAUGCCGUGGUAAAUUUUUUGUCCCAUUUAGGGCAGGUUUGGGUAUAUGCUUCUGACAAACCAGAGCUUCUCACAAUAAGCAUGAUGGUUUCGGUAGGGAACGUCUCACCUUUGGGGACGAAACGAUAUCCAUUGCCUCUUAUUGCUUUCAAAAAUUUUCUCGUGUCAACAUAGAACAACAGGAGUGUUGUGUCUAUUUUUGUGAUUUUUCAGGGUUCGUUUGGACAUUUUUAUGCAUCAACUGAGUUUUCAAUGCAUUUAUGUGCAUAAUUCAAAUUUGGACAACAUGCACAUGCUCCAGUGCAUAUAAAUUGGAUGAAAAAUCAAAUCUGUGUCCUUGGGUGCAUGCUUAGGUCCCAUGCAAGAAAUGGGAAUGAAUUUCAAACACUAGGGCACCGUUGAUUGCGGGCAAAACGUUGAGAUACUUUAUUUUUACAUUCUAGUAAAUCCAAAACUCAUCUGAAAUUCAUGAAACAUGGCAUGCUAUCAUGGAGCGGCAUCAACAUGCCGUAGUAAUUUUUUUGUCCCAUUUGAGGUAGGUUUGGGUAUAUGCUUCUCCCAAACCAGAGCUUCUCACAACAAUCAUGAUGGUUUAGGUAGGGAACGUCCCAGCUUUGGGGACGAAACGAUAUCCAUUGCCUCUUAUUGCCUCCAAAAUUUUUCUCGUGUCAACAUAGAACAACAGGAGUGUUGUGUCAAUUUUUGUGAUUUUUCAAGGUUCGUUUGGACAUUUUUAUGCAUUAACUAAGUUUUCAAUGCAUUUAUGUGCAUAAUUCAAAUUUGAACUACAUGCACAUGCUCCAGUGCAUAUAAAUUGGUUGAAAAAUCAAAUUUGUUUCCUUGGGUGCAUGCUUAGGUCCCAUGCAAGAAAUGGUAAUGAAUUUCAGUCACCAAGGCACCGUUGAUUGCCGGCACAACAUUGGGAUACCUGGUUUUAAUAUUCUAGUUAAUCCAAAACUCGUCUAAAAUUCAUGAAACUUGGCAUGCUAUCAUGGAGCGGCAUCAACAUGUCAUGGUAAUUUUUUUGUCCCAUUUGGGGCAGGUUUGGGUACAUGCUUCUCACAAUCCAGAGCUUCUCACAACAAGCAUGAUGGUUUCGGUAGGGAACGUCCCACCUUUGGGGAUGAAACGAUAUCCAUUGCCUGUUAUUGCUUUCAAAAAAUUUCUCGUGUCAACAUAGAACAACAGGAGUGUUGUGUCAAUUUUUGUGAUUUUUCAGGGUUCGUUUGGAUAUUUUUAUGCAUUAACUUAGUUUUCAAUGCAUUUAUGUGCAUAAUUCAAAUUUGAACUACAUGCACAUGCUCCAGUGCAUAUAAAUUGGUUGAAAAAUCAAAUCUGUGUUCUUGGGUGCAUGCUUAGGUCCCAUGCAAGAAAUGGGAAUGAAUUUCAAACACCAGGGCACCGUUGAUUGCCGGCAAAACGUUGAGGUACCUGGUUUUUAAAUUCUAGUAAAUCCAAAACUCGUCUGAAAUUCAUGAAACUUGGCAUGCUAUCACGAAGCGGCAUCAACAUGCCGUGGUAAAUUUUUUGUCCCAUUUGGGGUAGGUUUGGGUAUAUGCUUCUCACAAACCAGAGCUUCUCACAACAAGCAUGAUGGUUUCGGUAGGGAACGUCCCACGUUUGGGGACGAAACGAUAUCCAUUGCCUCUUAUUGCUUUCAAAAAAAUUCUCGUGUCAACAUAGAACAACAGAAGUGUUGUGUCAAUUUUUGUGAUUUUUGGGGUUCGUUUGGACAUUUUUAUGCAUUAACUGAGUUUUAAAUGCAUUUAUGUGCAUAAUUCAAAUUUGAACUACAUGCACAUGCUCUAGUGCAUAUAAAUUGGUUGAAAAGUCAAAUAUGUGCCCUUGGGUGCAUGCUUAGGUCCCAUGCAAUAAAUGGGAAUGAAUUUCAAACAGCAGGGCACCGUUGAUUGCCGGCAAAUCGUUGAGAUACUUUAUUUUUAUAUUCUAGUAAAUCCAAAACUCGUCUAAAAUUCAUGGAACUUGGCAUUCUAUCAUGGAAUGGCACCCGACAUGCUGUGGUAUUUUUCAUGUCCAUUUUGAGAGAAGGCGCACUCGAAUAAUGACAACCAACAAAGGUAUUUUGAAAAGAUAGCUGCCACUUUAAUAUCUCAAACGUUUGUAUAAUUCAAACCGUGUGCGUUCUGUUAACCAUUCACGUGACGCCACGUGUUUUGGUUUUAAUGGCCAUAGGAGGUGCCCUGCGGACAGCUGCUUGACCUUGACUGAACGAGAGGCGUGCAAGCACAGUCCGGUGCGCAGGCUGACCGAGAGGCGUGCAAGCUGUCCUCGAAUGCGCAGGCUCACCGGGAAGCGUGUGAGCUGUACGCUAUGCAGGCUCACUAGGAAACGGGCCCUUUGACUUCCAUGGUCGCCCGCCUUCCUCUCCGUGCGCGCGCCCCCCUCAGCGGCAUGGGACGCCACCGUCGAACUCUACCUCUCAGCGCCACCAGCUGCCGUCCUCCCGCGCCCCGCCCGUCGACCCCGGGACGACAUGAUGCAAAGUGAGAGCAGGAUUUGUGCAUCUCCUCAACGCAAACAGUUUUUUUGGAUGACCCGUGUGCAACCACUUACAAACAAUUUGGUGCGAUUUGCAUCUAUCAUAUUGGGUAUGUUACCAUUUGUCAAACUGGAAAGAUUGACAUUUGUUGAUCUAGUAACAUUGCCAUUUGUCAACCUUGUAAUACUGUGAUUUGUCAAAAUAUGAAGCUAAAAAUCACUAGCAGUAUCUAAUUUUUGCAACUAAGAUUCAGUAAUUAAGCAUAGAUUUCAUUCAUAGAUUAAGUAGUCGUUCUUAAUUUAUACAAACAGUUCAACUCGACAGCUGAACCGACCAAACUUUUCCCUAAUUGUUGCCAACCACGUACUGAACUAGCUAGUUCAACUAUAUAUAUACUAGCUAAUUUUAAGUACGUUGUAUAGUUCCACCACAUCUAUAGUCAGAUGAACUAAACAAAAUAGCCCCUAAAUUAUACUACUACUACUGCGGAGGGGCUCUGUAAUACUUUCGGCUGCCUCUCCUCUGCCGAGCGCGCUCAGUAAGAGGCGGCGGAGGAGGAGCCUACCGAUGAGCUGGGCAACCGCAAUACGGUGCAUGCCGCUGUUGCAACUUCAGCGAUGCUCACCUCGAACGCCCUCUACCGCUCCAGGUGACCCCUCUCGAAGCGGUGGUUCUCCUCAUAGAUCUCCUGAUUCCUCGCCUCUGAGGCGGCGUAUGCCGCGGCCAUGGCGGCGGUAAGGCUCUUUGCAUGCUCGACGAGGCGCUCCUCCUCCUCCCGUAGGAACUCGGUGUAGCGCGCAAGGUCGCUGGCGCACGUGCGGGCAUCCACCUCCGCCUCCCGCCUUCGGGCGGCAGUGGCGGAGCGGGUGAUGACCCCGGUGGUCGACGGUGGGCUGGCGGCCACAGCGGCCGACGACGGGGUGGCGGCCACGACCACCACCUCCCGCCUUCGGGCCGCGGUGGCGGAGCGGGUGAUGGCCACGGUGGCCGGCAGUGGGGCGGCGGCCAUGAUGGCCACCUCCCACCUUCGGGCCGCGGCGGCGGAGCAGGCGAUGGCCCUGGCUUUCGACGGUGGUGUGGCGGCAACGGCGGCCGGCAACGGCGGCCGGCAACAGCUGCCGACGGGCACCGGCGGCGGAGCGUGUGGUGGGUGUUCCGCGCACACCCAACAGGGACACCACAUGCACUACACUACGCCGGGGACUGCGCCACUUCCGCGGUGUAGCCUCCCAGCUGGAGCUGUCCUCUGAUGUGGGCGGAGUGGCUGAGCGACGACGACGGACCGGUGCCAUUGGCGAUUGUGGGAGAAGCAGACGAGAUAAGCUACAGGGAGGAAGGGAAAAUGCGAUGUAGGACUCGCCGGGCGUGAGGGUUUUUAUAGCAGGCCACUAAGCAUUGGGAUUUGGGGGGAUUUCACCGAGUCGGGCGGGAAGCUUGCGCAGGAACCUGCGAGGUUGCGCGGGAACGGGCUCACGGACGAUUCAUUAGCGUCACCAUUUGGCCAAAAGAACGCCCCCGCGCGCUGCGCAAGCUUGCGCUGUAAGCCGUCUGCGGCAGCGGGGUGACAAGACGUGCGAGAGGAGGAUGAAAGGCCACGUACACAUACGGUUAAUAAAAAAACGUUUGCGAUUUAAUUACCUACUAUACCCCCGUCUUGGUUUAUAAGUAUGAUUUAACUAAUAAAAUACAAAUGCAUGUCGCCAAAGAUUAUAUAGUUGGAUUCGUAUUUGAACAUAGUUUCCAAUUAUAUAAUUUUUAUAACAUGCAUUAACAUUUUGUUGGUUAAAUUUGAGGGCAAAGUAUGGCACAAAAUAUAAAGGGGACUAUAGACCAGACGGAGGUGGCAGCACACGGACGCUCUCUAUGCAGCGAUGCAACUGUCGGACGGCUUGUAGGCGACCAUUUCCUGCGUGUUCAACUGCUCUAUGCGUGUGGUUGCUUGCGGUUCAGGCGGCCGCGGCGCACUCUGCUCGCGUCCCGCCGCGCGUGCUCUGCUCUCGCGUCCCUCCGGGUGCUCUGCCCUCGUCCCUCCAUGCACUCUACCAGUGUUUGGGGCCGGCACACGAUCACGUAUGUUCGUGUGCAUGCGGUUGCGCCAGACGCGGCGCGACGAUGCAGUUACCCGCUGCAAAAACUGCCAUGCGGACGCGCCGAUAAUCCAUGCCGCCCGGCCCCCUUUUAUUUCUGCGGCCAUUUACCUUCAUCUCUCGUCUCACACGACAGAAUAAGCACACCCACGAGGACACAUACAGAGAGGAGAUCCAGCUGUUCCAAUGGCGCUCCCCGUGGCUCCGAUGGCGCUCCCAGCGGCCGACGACGACAACGGCGGGCAGUUCACCAUGCAACACAUCGUGGACACCCACGUGAGGGGGAAGGCUCUCUUGGUGGUGUACAUGAACGAUCCGGUCUCGGUGGAGAGCUCCAUCCAAACUAUGGAGCAGUUCCUUGCCGAGGACAAGUACCAAGUGGUCGGCUUCGACCUCGAGUACACCAUGGGUCGUGCCGGGCAUGAUCAGAAGGUUGUCGUCAUCCAGUUGUGCGUGCGACAUGACGUCCUCGUCUACCACUACCACCUGGCCACAACGCCUUGCAAGCGUUUCUCCAGGUUUAUCAACAGUUCCGACUACAAUUUCGUUGCGGUGGACACCACCAACGAUCUAAAAGCGCUCAAGGUUUCGGGCUUGAAAUGCCCGAAUCUUGUCAACAUCCAGUGCCACUACAAGGUCUGGGGCAGCGACAAAAACAAACUGAACUCCCUGGUUGACCUCGCCUCGGCCAUCAUCGACCCCUACUACAUGAAGAUGAAGAAUGAGAGCAAUAAGGACAAGAACGCCUGGCAUUGUGUGUGGCAUGAGAGACUGGAUGAACAACAUGUCAAGUACGCGGCCAUGGACGCGUACACAAGCUACGAGAUGUACAGGCGGAUCGUUGACAUGAGGAACUAUCUUCUUCCUGACCCAGACGAGGGAUCGAGCCACGUAGCAGUGGCGGGAGCAUCACAAGAAGUAGAUGACUAGACGAUCGUUUCUCCUACUUUAGAAUGCAUGCAAUUGUUUAUUGAGGUGUGUGCGAAUGAUCUGUAUAGUCAAUUAUGUAAUUGGAUGUUUAUUUCAGUUAUAUAUAUAUACACACACAUGUUAUUCUACUGUAGACAGAGCAAAUCACACGGCUUAUUAGCAGCAAUCAUUUGUGUUAUUAUUGGUCUUCGCACACAUUUCUGAUUACGGACCUGUUUGCCGCGUAUCACACAUAUCUUCUUUAGUCGAACCGUUUCCAUUGUGUUGUCUAAUCACACACAGUUCAUCCUAGUGAACCGUAUGCUGUAUAUCGCACACGCCUUCAUCUGGCUGCCCAUUUCUUUUGUUCCUCCUCAUCCCAAACAGUUAAUUGAACUGAACUGUAUGCCCUGCAUCGCACACGCAACUAAAAUCUGAACCAUGUUUGAUGCAUCCGUCAUCGUAAACGUUUUGCACCUUUUUUAUGGUUUUUUACACCACUGUUUGCCAUUAUGGCAUCACACACAAUUUUGUCGAAGGGUCUCUGAUCGUAGUGUCGCGUUUGGACCAUCCUGCAGUAGUGACACGACACCACUAGAGGAAGAAUAACGUGCAUAUCUCAAAAUAUUGAAUGAAUACCAACUUCACAUGAUUACUUAUAACAAGACUUCUUCCAUGUCCUCAAGAACAAAGGGAACUACUCACAAAUCAUAUUUGUGUUAAAGAUCAAAGGAGUAUUGUAUAUGAUUAAGGAUUUGAACAUAUAAUCUUCCACCAAAUAAACCAACUAGCAUCAAGUACAAGAUGUAAUCAACAUUACUAGUAGCCCACAGGUACUAAUCUAAGGUUUUGAGACAAAGACUGAAUAUAAGAGAUGAACUAGGGUUUGAAAGGAGAUAGUGCUAGUGAAGCUUUUGAUGAAGAUUGGUCCUCCCACGAUGAGAGGAACGUUGGUGAUGUCGAUGGCUUCAAUUUCCCCCUCCUAGAGGGAAGUAUCCCCAACGAAAUUGCUCCGCUGGAGAGGAAAGUGCUCCUGCCCAGGUUCUGCCUCGAGACGGCGGCGCUUCGUCCCGAAAGUCUUACACUUACUUUCUUUAGGGCAAAAGGCUUCAUAUAGCAGAAAGAGGGCAACAGAGGGAUGAUGUGGGCCCCACAAGGCAUCAGGGCGCGCCUUGUUGCCUUGUGGACAAUAGGUUGGCCCCCUCUGAUGGUUCUUCAUUCUAGUAUUUUUUUUAUAUUCAAUAAAAAAUCUCCAUUAAAUUUCAGGUCAUUUGGAGCUCCAUAGAAUAGCUAUAUCUGUUGUAGCUCUUUUAGGUCCAGAAUUUUAGCUGCCGGUAAUUUCCCUCUUCAUAUAGAUCUUGCAAAUUAAGAGAGAAAAAUGGCAUUAGAAUUGCAUCAUAAAGUGAAAUAAUGACCAAAAACAUUAUAAAUAACAGUAGAAAAACAUGAUGCGAAAUGGGCGUAUCAGAAAUUUGCUGUAUAUAGAGACAAAUAGGAGUAGAACCUAAAUCUUGAUGUAUACUCAGUUUAAAUUUAGUAAAACUUGUUGCAUGCUUAGUUCUAAUUUACUGAAACUUGUUGAAUAUCAAGACAAACAAGAGUAAAACCUAAAUCUUGUUGCAUACUCGGUUUUAUUUGCGGAAACUAGUUGAAUAACGAGACAAACAAGAGUAAAACCUAAAUCUUGUGAAACUGGGAUUUGUGAAACUGAUGUUACAUAAACUUGUUGUAUAAGACCUGUAAAAUUUAGUAAACUUACUUAAAAAUGCUAACAAGUUUUAAGUUUCAGUAAACUUGCUUAAAAUUCAGUUAACAGUUGCAACCAAAGUUCAGCUAACAUUUGCAAACAAAGUUUGAAUUUAUCCCCUUGAAAUGCAUUUGGAAUAUUCAGUUACUCCUUUUUCUCCUUUGCAUUGUUUUUAUUAUUGCAACAAUAUUGUUGGAGUAAAAAAAUUACAAUAAAGAAACUUACUCCUUUUUUCUCCUUUGUAGUGUUGAACAUCAAACAAGAAGAAACGUGCCAAAUGAGCACAUAUUUGUUGCUUAUAUUUCUUUGAAAGCGCUGAUUGAAGAUAGGGAAUUGAGAAAAAUGACAAAGUGCUUGUUGCUAACCUUUUGCAUACAAAUCUUAGAACUGUUGAAAGAAUAUGGAAACAAGCACAUGAUCAAAUUGCACAAGGUGAAGAAGUUGAUGCCUGACCAAAAAAGGUAGAGUAGGUCGCAAGAGAAAAUUUCUUGAACUCCCUAGGAUAUCCACAAUCCUGCUAAACAGAAGGAAAACACUUGGAACUCUUUCUAGGUCUUUGGGUGUUAGUUGUACAACAUUCCAUAGAAGGUUCAAGUGGGGGAGGUGAAGUGUCACACCAGCAGCUUAAACCCUUUACUCAACCCAGCUAACAAGAUAGCCAGACUCAAGUUUUGCAUUUUCAUGUUGGAUGAAGCAACAUUGGAAAAUGCCAGGCCUGGUUUCAUUGACAGGAGAAGGAUUAUACACAUUUAUGAAAAGUGAUUUGAUAUAUCGAGAAGGAAAUGCACCUAUUGUCUUCUUCCUGAAAAAGAAGGCCCCUUGCGCACUGUUAUAAGAACAGUAUAGGAAAGGUCAUGUUCCUAAUAGAUGUGGCCAAGCCAGGUAUGAUGAAGAUGGUUUUGUGACAUUUGAUGAUAAAAGUGGAGUUUAGGCCUUUGUGAAUGAAACCAACUAUUUCAAGAAGUCAAAAUAGGGAAAGGGGCACUUUCGAACUCAAGUCAGUUAUAGUGACUAGAAACGUUAUGAGGCAAUAUAUUUGUCAAAAGGUGGUGUCAGCUACAAGAUUUGUGCCCUAAAGAUGAUGUUAGAAAAACCAUUUUUAUCCAAUAGGACAAUGCCAGAACACAUGUUCUACCUACCGAUGAAGCUUUUCUGGAAGCUAUAGCACAAACUAACCUUGAUAUUUAGUUGAUGCAGCAACCUCCAAACUCUUCGGGCAUGAAUAUGCUAGACUUGAAAUUCUUCAGUUCUAUUCAAUCUUUGUAUGAUUACAGAGGACAUAAGACUAUUAGGGAACUAAUCAAAAGUGUCGAGGAAGAAUUCUAUAACUACGCAGUUGACAAACUGGCAAGGGUGUUCAUAACACUCUGGUCAUGUAUCGUGGUGGUUAUGGAACUUUAAGGAGGCAUGAACUACAAGAUCCCCCACAUGGAUAAAGAGAGAUUGCAAAAGGAAGGAAGUCUACCUCCUGCUUUAUCUUGUGAUGGUGAACUCUAUCGAAAAACAUUGAAAUUUAUAUGACACCACUAAUUGAGGGGAAAGAAAAGGAAAGGAAAGGGAGUAUGUAUGUGUUGUGGUGUGUAUCUUGUGUUGUGUAUUUAUAGGAAAGGAAAAGGAAAAGGAGCUUUAUCUUGUGUAUUGAUGGAGUAUGUCUUGUGUAUUUGAUGGAGUAACUGAGAGUAUUAAAAUAAUUAGAGUAAUGUGGAGUAUGUCAAUUGUGGUAAAGUAAUUGGAAUAAUUGGAUUAAUUUGGAUCAAUUGAAUAAUUUGGAAUAAUUGAAUUAGUUUGGAUUAAUUUGGAAUAUACUCCUAUAUCUUGAAAAGAAAAGGAAAGGAAAAAACAGGAGUACACCUAAAUUAUUUCCACAACAAUUAUUUGCACAGGAGUAUGAUACGCCUCCAACGUAUCAAUAAUUUUUUAUUGUUCCUGAUGUCUACUACACAACCUUCUUCUUGUAGAUGUUGUUGGGCCUCCAAGUGCAGAGGUUUGUAGGACAGUAGCAAAUUUCCCUCAAGUGGAUGACCUAAGGUCUAUCAAUCCGUGGGAGGCGUAGGAUGAAGAUGGUCUCUCUCAAACAACCCUGCAACCAAAUAACAAAGAGUCUCUUGUGUCCCCAACACACCCAAUACAAUGGUAAAUAGGUGCACUAGUUCGACGAAGAGAUGGUGAUACAAGUGCAAUAUGGAUGGUAGAUAUAGGUUUUUGUAAUAUGAAAAUAUAAAACAGCAAGGUAACUAAUGAUAAAAGUGAGCGUAAACGGUAUUGCAAUGCGUUGAAACAAGGCCUAGGGUCCAUACUUUCACUAGUGCAAGUUCUCUCAACAAUAAUAACAUAACUGGAUCAUAUAACUAUCCCUCAACAUGCAACAAAGAGUCACUCCAAAGUCACUAAUAGAGGAGAACAAACGAAGAGAUUAUGGUAGGGUACGAAACCACCUCAAAGUUAUCCUUUCUGAUCGAUCUAUUCAAGAGUCCGUAGUAAAAUAACACGAAGCUAUUCUUUCCGUUCGAUCUAUCAUAGAGUUCGUACUAGAAUAAAACCUUAAGACACAAAUCAACCAAAACCCUAAUGUCACCUAGAUACUCCAAUGUCACCUCAAGUAUCCGUGGGUAUGAUUAUACGAUAUGCAUCACACAAUCUCAGAUUCAUCUAUUCAAACCAACACAAAGUACUUCAAAGAGUGCCCCAAAGUUUCUACCGGAGAGUCAAGACGAAAACGUGUGCCAACCCCUAUGCAUAAGUUCAUAAGGUCACUGAACCCGCAGGUUGAUCACCAAAACAUACAUCAAGUAGAUCACAUGAUAUCCCGUUGUCACCACAGAUAAGCACAUGCAAGACAUACAUCAAGUGUUCUCAAAUCCUUAAAGACUCAAUCCGAUAAGAUAACUUCAAAGGGAAAACUCAAUCCAUUACAAGAGAGUAGAGGGGGAGAAACAUCAUAAGAUGCAACUAUAAUACCAAAGCUCGCGAUACAUCAAGAUCGUGCCAAAUCAAGAACACGAGAGAGAGAGAGAGAGAGAGAUCAAACACAUAGCUACUGGUACAUACCCUCAGCCCCGAGGGUGAACUACUCCCUCCUCGUCUUGGAGAGUGCGGGAUGAUGAAGAUGGCCAUCGGAGAGGGAUCCCCCUCCGGCAGGGUGCCGGAACAGGGUCCCGAUUGGUUUUUGGUGGCUACAGAGGCUUGUGGCGGCGGAACUCCCGAUCUAUUGUGUUCUCUGAUGUUUUUAGGGUAUAUGGAUAUAAAUAGGCGAAAGAAGUCGGUCAGGGGAGCCACGAGGGGCCCACGAGGGUGGGGGUGCGCCCAGGGGGGUAGGGCACGCCUUCCUGCCUCGUGGUUUCCUCGAAGCUUUCCUGACGUCUACUCCAAGUCUCGUGGAUUGCUUCCGUUCCAAAAAUAACUCUCCCGAAGGUUUCAUUCCGUUUGGACUCCAUUUGAUAUUCCUUUUCUUCGAAACACUGAAAUAGGCAAGAAAACAACAUUUUGGGCAGGGCCUCCGGUUAAUAGGUUAGUCCCAAAAAUAAUAUAAAGGUGUAUAAUAAAGCCCAUCAACAUCCAAAACGGGUAAUAUAAUAGCAUGGAACAGUCAAAAAUUAUAGAUACGUUGGAGACAUAUCAGUUCCAUGCUGUUAUAUUAUCAAUCUUGGAUGUUUUAUAAUCAUUUUAUAUCAUUUUUUGGUACUAACCUAUUGACAUAGUGCCAAGUGUCAGUUGCUGUUUUCUGCAUGUUUUUUACAUCGCAGGAAAUCAAUAUCAGACGGAGUCCAAAUGCAACAAAACUCCACGGAGAUUUUUUUUGGACCAGAAGGAACACAAUGGGCCCUGGCUGCGCCUCGGGGUGCCCCGAGGAGGGCACAACCCACCAGGGCGUGCCAGGAGGCCCAUGCGCGCCCUGGUGGGCUGUGCCCACCUCGGGUGCCCCCGGACCGCCUCUUUGCUCUAUAAAUACCCCCAAUAUUCCCAAAACCCUAGGGGAGUCGACGAAAUAUUCAUCCAGCCGCCGUAGAGUCCAGAACCACCAGAUCCAAUCGAGACACCAUCUCGGAUGGGGUUCACCGCCUCCAUUGGUGCCUCUCUGAUGAUGCGUGAGUAGUUCUUUGUAGACCUUUGGGUCCGUAGUUAGUAGCUAGAUGGCUUCCUCUCUCUCUCGCUGAAUUCUCAAUACAAUGGUCUCUUGGAGAUCCAUAUGACGUAACUCUUUUGUGGUGUGUUUGUUGGGAUCGAUGAACUUUGAGUUUAUGAUCAGAUCUAUCUUUUUAUAACCAUGAAAGUUAUUUGAGUUUCUUUGAUCUCUUAUAUGCAUGAUCUCUUAUAGCCUCGUAUUUCUUCUCUGAUAUUUGGGUUUUGCUUGUCCAACUUGAUCCAUUUAUCUUGCAAUGGUAAGAGGUGCUUUGUAGUGGGUUCGAUCUUACGGUGCUUGAUCCCAGUGACAGAAAGGGCACCGACAUGUAUGUAUCGUUGCUACUAAGGAUAAAACGAUGGGGUCUAUCUCUACAUAGAUAGAUUUUGUCUACAUCAUGUCAUCGUUCUUAUUGCAUUACUCCGUUUUUCCAUGAACUUAAUACACUAGAUGCAUGCUGGAUAGCGGUCGAUGUGUGGAGUAAUAGUAGUAGAUGCAGGCAGGAGUCGGUCUACUAAUCUUGGACGUGAUGCCUAUAUAAUGAUCAUUGCCUGGAUAUCGUCAUGAGUAUUUGGAGUUCUAUCAAUUGCCCAACAGUAAUUUAUUCACGCACUGUUUGCUAUUUUUCUCGAGAGAAGCCACUAGUGAAACAUAUGGCCCCCGGGCCUCUUUCUUAUAUUAUUUGCCUUUGUGAUCUAAUUUUCUUUUGCAUUUAUUUUUAGAUCUAUUAAACCAAAAAUACGACAAUACCUUGCUGCAUUUUAUUUCUAUUUGUUUUAUUUGGCGUUUGAACUAUCAAUCUACUACAAUUUACCUCACGUAUGUUUGCCUAUCUUGAGGCGUCGUACCCCGGAAGGGAUUGACAACCCCUUUAACACGUCAGUUUGUGAGGAUUUGUUAUCUGUGUGCAGGGGCUGUUUAUGUUGUGUUGCUUGGUUCUCCUACUAGUUCGAUAACCUUGGUUUCAUAUCUGAGGGAAAUACCUACCGCCGUUGUGCUGCAUCAUCCCUUCCUCUUUGGGGAAAUACCGACGUAGCUUCAAGCGACAUCAAAAUGAAUUUCUGGCGCCGUUGCCGGGGAGGAUCUUCAACAUAUACCAGGUUCCUAAUCAUAAAUCUCAUUUCCUCGCAAUUUACAUUAUUUGCCAUUUGCCUCUUGUUUUCCUCUCUCCCACUUCACAAAAAUUUGCCGUUUUAUUCGCCUCUCUUUUUCAUUCGCCGUUUUCUUGCCGGAUCUGUUUUUGAGUGCAAUCUUGUUGUGUAGUCAUCAUGACUCAAGAUAACACCAAGUUGUGUGAUUUCUCAAAUACCAACAACAAUGAUUUUAUCGGCACUCCGAUUGCUCCCGCCACUAGUGCGGAGUCUUGUGAUAUUAAUACUGCUUUGGUGAAUCUUGUUAUGAAAGAUCAAUUUUCCGGUACUCCUAAUGAGGAUGUCGUGUCCCAUCUUAAUACCUUCGUGGAAUUAUGUGAUAUGCAAAAGAAAAAAGAUGUGGACAAUGAUGUGGUGAAGAUGAAAUUAUUUCCGUUUUCUUUGCGUGAUUCUGCAAAAAUUUGGUUCUCUUCUUUGCCUCGCAAUAGUAUCGAUUCUUGGAAUAAGUGCAAAGAUGCUUUUAUCACUAACUAUUUUCCGCCCGCAAAAAUUAUUUCCCUUAGAACCCAGAUCAUGACUUUCAAGCAACCUGAACAUGAGCAUGUUGCACAAUCUUGGGAAAGGGUGAAAAUGAUGCUAAGGAAUUGCCCAAAUCAUGGGUUAAAUCUUUGGAUGAUCAUACAAAAUUUUUAUGCGGGAUUGAAUUUUGUUUCUCGUAAUCUUUUGGAUUCCGCUGCGGGUGGUACUUUUAUGGAAAUUACUUUGGGUGAAGCCACAAAAUUGCUUGCUAAUAUCAUGGAAAAUUAUUCGCAAUGGCAUACCGAAAGAGUCCUACUUGUAAAAAAGUUAAUUCGGUUGAAGAAAUUUCUUCUUUGAGUGAAAAAGUUGAUGCUCUUAUGAAAUUAGUUGCUAGUAAAAGUGCUCUUGUUAAUUUUAAUGAUAUGCCUUUGUCUACUUUGAUUGAGCAAAAUAGUGAUGCCAUAGAUGUGAAUUUUAUCUCUCGAAAUAAUUUCAAUAACAAUGCUUAUAGAGGUAAUUUUAAUCCUAGGACUUUUCCUAGUAAUUCCUCUAAUAAUUAUGGUAAUUCCUAUGGAAAUCAAUCUUAUAAUAAUAAUAGGAACACCUCUGAUCUUGAGAAUAAUAUUAAAGAAUUUAUCAACACACAAAAAGCUUUUAACACUUCCAUACAAGAAAAGUUGAGUAAGGUUGAUGAUUUGUCUAGAAGUGCUGAUAGAAAUUGCUCAUGAUGUGGAAAUUCUCAAGAUGAAAAUUUUUGUGCCUAAACUGGAUGAAUCAAUUAAAGCUCUUUAUUUUUCUAUGGAUGAAAGUAAGAAAAGAACCACUAUGCUUAGAGCUAAAAGAGAAUUAAAAAAAGCGUUUUCUAGUGAUUUCUUUCGCAAAAGUGAUGAAGAUCUUAAAAUGAUUGGUGUUUCUUCUAUUGAUUCCUUGUUUAGUAAAGCUAAGAUUGAUGAAAAAGGGACUGGAGAAGAGUCAACUUUAGCUAGAAGGCGUCCCGAUAUUUUGGAGGGUGAAAAUCUUGUUGAGAAAAUUGAUAAAAGUGGGUUUGAAGAGGUCAAAACUUUAGCUAGUGAUGUGCCCACUCUUUUGGAUUACAAAGACUUCAAUUAUGAUAGUUUCUCUUUAAUUGAUUAUAUUUCUUUGUUGCAAUCCAUGAUAAAUUCACCCCAUGCUUAUGAACAAAAUAAAGCUUUUACUAAACAUAUUGUUGAUGCUAUGAUGAAAGCUUUUGAAGAAAAAUUGGAAUUAGAAGUGUCAAUUCCUAGAAAAUUUCAUGAUGAGUGGGAACCUACUAUCAAAGUCAAGAUUAAAAAUUAUGAAUGUUUUGCUUUGUGUGACUUGGGUGCUAGUGUUUCUACAAUUCCGAAAUCUUCAUGUGAUGUGCUUGGCUUUACCGAUCUUGAAGAAUGUUCUUUAAAUUUGCACUUGGCGGAUUCUACUAUUAAAAGGCCUAUGGGAAAAUUAAUGAUGUUCUUAUUCUUGCAAAUAGGAAUUAUGUACCCAUAGAUUUUAUUGUUCUUGACAUUGAUUGCAAUCUGUCUUGUCCAAUUUUCUUUGGUACACCAUUUUUACGCACUAUCGGUGCCAUGAUUGAUAUGAAAGAAGGCAAUAUUAAGUUCCAUUUCCUUUGAUGAAGGGUAUGGAACACUUUUCUAGAACAAUAAUUAGGCCACCAUAUGAAUCAAUCAUGAGGGCAUCUUAUGGAUCUCGAACCAAAGAUGACAAAACUUAGAUCCUUGCUUUAUGCCUAGCUAAGGGCGUAAAACUAUAGCGCUUGUUGGGAGGCAACCCAAAGAAUAAAAUUUAUUUCUUAUUUUUGCUUUCUAUUAUUUAGUGUUAGAACAAUUAUUCUGUUAUGAUUGUGUUUUUUGUGUUUUAAUUAGUGUUUGUUCCAAGUAGAGCCAAUAGGAUCUUCUUGGGUGAUAGUUGUUUGAUCUUGCUGGAAAAAACCAGAAACUUUGCACUCACGAAAACAAUUCUCAUUUUUUAUCAGAGAGUGUUUUGGCCCUGAUUCUUUUUUCAGAAUAUUAAUAUACUAAUUACCCAGCUCUUCCUAGUUUUUUUAGAAUUUUUGGAGGUCCGGAAGUUUUUGAAAUAGUCAGAUUGCUACAGACUGUUCUGUUUUGACAGAUUCUGUUUUCUUUGCGUUGUGUGCUUAUUUUGAUGGCUCUAUGGUUUCCUUUGAUGAGUUUUUGCCAUAGAAAAGUUGGAAUACAGUAGAUAUAAUGCAAAAAAAUAUGAAUUGGUUUGGUACAGUACUUAUAGUAGUGAAUUGCUUUCUUUUACUAACGGAUCUCACGAAGGUUUUCUUGAGUUUUGUGUGAUUGAAGUUUUCAAGUUUUGGGUUAUCUUAUGAUGGAUGAAGGAAUAAAGGAUACAAGAGCCUAAGCUUGGGGAUGCCCCGGCAUCCCAAGCUAUUAUCCAAAAAUGAGCAACCAACUAAGCUUGGGGACGCCCCCGAGUGGCAUCCCUUCUUUCUUCUAACGACUAUCAGUAUUUUACUCGAAGCUAUAUUUUUAUUUGUCACAUACUAUGUGUUUUGCUUGGAGCGUCUUGUAUGAUAUGAGUCUUUGCUUGUUUUAUUUUGUGUUUUAAGUCUUGAUCCCUUGUUGGACACACCUCCAAAAUUAUGUCAUGACUUGUUAGAAUUGCUCUCUAUGCUUCACUUAAAUGUUUUAUGAGCUAUGGACUUGCUCUAGUGCUUCACUUAUAUCUUUUUGAGCAUGGUGUGCUUAGUGUUUUUGAAGAAAUUAUCUCUUGCUUCACUUAGAUUUAUUUGAGAGUUAGUAAAAUCUUCAAGAAAUUCUCUCUUGCUUCACUUAAAUUAUUUUGAGAGAAAGAAAGAAAAAUUAUGCUCAUGAUCUUCACUUAUAUUUUUUUGAGCUUAUGAAAAGCAACACAUGAAAAUUAGUCCCAAAGUGAUAGAUAUCCAAGAAGGAUAUAAUAAAAACUUUCAUGAAGAUCAUUGGACAAAAUAGACUUGAUCCUUAGUAAUAGUUUUGAGAUAUGAUGAUGUGAUAUGUGAGUUAUGUUGAUGAGUAAUUAUGCUUUAGUAAGAAUAUUGGUGUUAAGGUUUGUGAUUCCCUAUGCAAUCACGAAAGUCAAUGGUCAUGCAAUGAAAUUAUAUCCUACUUGUGGUGCAUUAUUCGGUGUUAUUUAUGCUUAAUGCUUGCUUAUGAGAUUAUCCGUUUCUUGGUUGGUCGCUCCUCAAUCUUUUGCUAGCCUUCGCUUUGCACUAAGUAUGGUCUCUACUUGUGCAUCCAAAAUCCUUUAAACCUGUUUUGCCACAUGAGUCCACUAUAUCUACCUAUAUGCGGUAUUAUUUUGCCGUUCUAAGCAAAUUUGCAUGUGCCAUCUCUAAUUUUCAAAAUAAACUUCUCUUUUGUGUGUUCGUUUCGCUCGCGGAGCGGUGAGGGGUGGCUAAUAUUUUCCAUGUUGGAUGUGUUAUUCUCACGAUGAGUGUUUAUUCACUUGUCAUUGCAUGAGAGUAAGGCAAAGGUUUUAGGGAUGCCUAGUCCCGAAAUGAAAAAAUGAAUUUACUUUAUGUUGUCAAAUAAAAAAUUCGUUGAAGUGUUAGUAUGGAGGGAAACCGUGGAUACGGCUAGCCAUGGAAAGUGAAAGUAUGGUGGAAAAAGGAAUAAACUUUAUUUUCUGUUUGGGAACCGCCUAUGAUAUAUCUAGCAUGGAAAGUGUUGGGAACUCUAAGUCGUUUUCGUUGGUGGGAUGGAUACACCUCCCAAAAUGUUUUUAUCUCUAAAUUUUUCGCUUUGAGCUCUGGCACCUCUACACAUCCCUACUUCCCUCUGCGAAGGGCCCUUUCUUUUACUUUAUGCAAUUUUUAUUUUGAGUUUGAGUCUCCAUCUUCUCUUACAAAAGCACCAACUAGGAGGCAAUAUGAUCAUACUUGAGUAUUGGGUGUAGCUAAUAUGCGAGUGUGUUUCAUGAAUGGAUCAAUGGUUGAGCAUGAUGGGCAAGGGAUAACUUAUUUUAGCAUUGAUAUUUUGAAAGACAUGGUUGCUUGUUGAUAUGCUUGAGUAUCUAAAUUAUCAUGUCAAAACUAGACUAUUGCUUUGAAUCACAUAAAAGUCCAAAUGUCCAUGCUAUAAAGAAAAGAAUAUGAUAUAACAUGUUAGGCAGCAUUCCACAUCAAAAAUUCUGUUUUUAUCACUUACCUACUCGAGGACGAGUAGGAGUUAAGCUUGGGGAUGUUGAUAUGUCUCUAACGUAUCUAUAAUAUUUUAUUGUUCCAUGCUGUUAUAUAUCAAUCUUGGAUGUUUUAUAAUCAUUUUAUAGUCAUUUCAUAUCAUUUUUUGGUACUAACCUAUUGACAUAGUGCAAGUGUCAAUUGUUGUUUUCUGCAGGUUUUUUACAUCGCAGGAAAUCAAUAUCAGACGGAGUCCAAACGCAACAAAACUCCACGGAGAUUUUUUGGGACCAAAAGGAACACAAUGGGCCCUGGCUGCGCCUGGGGGUGCCCCGAGGAGGGCACAACCCACCAGGGAGCGCCAGGAAGCCCAGGCGCGCCCUGGUGGGUUAUGCCCACCUCGGGUGCCCCCGGACCGCCUCUUUGCUCUAUAAAUACCCCAAUAUUCCCAAAACCCUAAGGGAGUCGACGAAAUAUUCAUCCAGCCGCCGCAGAGUGCAGAACCACCAGACCCAAUCUAGACACCAUCUCGGAUGGGGUUCACCACCUCCAUUGGUGCCUCUCCGAUGAUGCGUGAGUAGUUCUUUAUAGACCUUCGGGUCCGUAGUUAGUAGCUAGAUGGCUUCCUCUCUCGCGCUGAAUUCUCGAUAGAAUGGUCUCUUGGAUAUCCAUAUGAUGUAACUCUUUUGCGGUGUGUUUGUUGGGAUCGAUGAACUUUGAGUUUGUGAUCAGAUCUAUCUUUUCUAUCCAUGAAAGUUAUUUGAGUUUCUUUGAUCUCUUAUAGCCUCGUAUUUCUUCUCCGAUAUUUGGGUUUUGUUUGGCCAACUUGAUCUAUUUAUCUUGCAAUGGGAAGAGGUGCUUUGUAGUGGGUUCGAUCUUACGGUGCUUGAUCCCAGUGACAGAAAGGGAACCGACACGUAUGUAUCGUUGCUACUAAGGAUAAAACGAUGGGGUCUAUCUCUACAUAGAUAGAUCUUGCCUACAUCAUGUCAUCAUUCUUAUUGCAUUACUCCGGUUUUCCAUGAACUUAAUACACUAGAUGCAUGCUGGAUAGCGGUCGAUGUGUGGAGUAAUAGUAGUAGAUGCAGGCAGGAGUCGGUCUACUAAUCUUGGACGUGAUGCCUAUAUAAUGAUCAUUGCCUGGAUAUCGUCAUGAGUAUUUGAAGUUCUAUCAAUUGCCCAACAGUAAUUUGUUCACCCACCAUUUGCUAUUUUUCUCGAGAGAAGCCACUAGUGAAACCUACGGUCCCCGGGUCUCUUUCUUAUAUUAUUUGUCUCUGCGAUCUACUUUUCUUUUGCAUUUAUUUUCAGAUCUAUUAAACCAAAAAUACAAAAAUACCUUGUUGCAUUUUAUUUCUAUUUAUUUUAUUUGGCAUUCGAUCUAUCAAUCUACUACAAUUUACCUCAUGUCCGUUUGCCUAUCUUGAGGCGCUGUACCCCGGAAGGGAUUGACAACCCCUUUAACACGCCGGGUUGCGAGGAUUUGUUAUUUGUAUGCAGGGGCUGUUUACGUUGUGUUGUUUGGUUCUCCUACUGGUUCGAUAACCUUGGUUUCAUAUCUGAGGGAAAUACCUACCGCCGCUGUGCUGCAUCAUCCCUUCCUCUUUGGGGAAAUACCGACGUAGCUUCAAGCGACAUCAGAGUACACCUAUAUUAUUUGCACAUUAGUACUUGAUACGUCCAUUUUGCACCAUGUUUUCUUGCUGUUAUUUAUGAUGUUUUUAUCCAUAAUAAUGCUCUUGGAGUAAUUCUAAUGCCUUUUCUCUCAUAAUUUACAAGGUACACACCAAGAGGGAGAAUUUCGGCAGCUGGAAAUCUGGACCUAGAAAAGCUACGUCUGGCCACCUAUUUUGCACAACUCCAAACAAGCUGAAACUUCACGGAGAUUCUUUAUGGAAUAUUUAAGAAUUAUUGGAGCAAAUAACUACCAGAGGGGGGCCACCAGGUGGGCACAACCCACCUGGGCGCGCCAGGGAGCCUAGGCGCGCCCUGGUGGGUUGUGCUCAUCCAGGCCCACCUCCGGUGCCCAUCUUCUGGUAUAUAGGUCAUUUUGACCUAGAAAAAAUUAAGGAGAGGACUUUUGGGACGAAGCGCUGCUGCCUCGAGGCGGAACUUGGGCAGGAGGACUUUUGCCCUCCGGCGGAGUGAUUCCGCCGGGGGAACUUCCCUCCCGGAGGGGGAAAUCAUCGUCAUCAUCAUCACUAACAACUCUCCCAUCUUGGGGAGGGCAAUCUCCAUCAACAUCUUCAACAGCACCAUCUCAUCUCAAACCCUAGUUCAUCUCUUGUGUUCAAUCUUGUUACCGGAACUAUAGAUUGGUGCUUGUGGGUGACUAGUAGUGUUGAUUACAUCUUGUAGUUGAUUACUAUAUGGUUUAUUUGGUGGAAGAUUAUAUGUUCAGAUCCAUUAUGCUAUUUAAUACCCCUCUGAUCUUGAGCAUGAUUAUCAUUUCUGAGUAGUUACUUUUGUUCUUGAGGUCACGGGAGAAAUCAUGUUGCAAGUAAUCAUGUGAAUUUGAUAUGUGUUCGAUAUUUUGAUAGUAUGUAUGUUGUUAUUCCCUUAGUGGUGUCAUGUGAACGUCGACUACAUGACACUUCACCAUAUUUGGUUCUAAGGGAAUGCAUUGUGGAGUAGCAAUUAGAUGAUGGGUUGCGAGAGUGGCAGAAGCUUAAACCCCAGUUUAUGCGCUAUUCCGUAAGGGACCGAUUGGAUCUAAAAGUUUAAUGCUAUGGUUAGAAUUUAUUCUUAAUACUUUUCUCGUAGUUGCGGAUGCUUGCGGGAGGGUUAAUCAUAAGUAGGAGGUUUGUUCAAGAAAGAACAACACCUAAGCACUGGUCCACCCACAUAUCAAAUUAUCAAAGUAGCGAACACAAAUCGAACCAACAUGAUGAAACUGACUAGAUGAAAUUCCCGUGUACCCUCAAGAACGCUUUGCUUAUCAUAAGAGACUGUUUUGGCAUGUCCUUUGCCUCAAAAGGCUACCUUGCUGCACUUUUGUUACUACUAUCGUUACUUGCUCGUUACAAAUUAUCUUGCUAUCAAACUACUCUGCUACUCACAAUUUCAGCACUUGCAGACAUUACCUUACUGAAAACUACUUGUCAUUUCCUUCUGCUCCUCGUUGGGUUCGACACUCUUACUUAUCGGAAAGAUCUACAAUUGAUCCCCUAUACUUGUGGGUCAUCAUGGCUAUUUUCUGGCACCGUUGCCGGGGAGUGAAGCGCCUUUGGUAAGUGGACUUUGGUAAGGACAAAUUUAUAUAGUGUGCUGAAAUUUAUUGUCACUUGUUACUAUGGAAAACAAUCCUUUGAGGGGUUUGUUCGGGGUAUAUUCACCUCGUCCGGAACCACAAUUAGCUACCCCUCAACGUACUGCACCUACUAAAAAUAUUGAAUAUGAAAUGCCUUCGGGUAUGAUAGAACAACUGCUAGCUAAUCCUUAUGCAGGAGAUGGAACCGAACAUCCUAAUAUGCACUUGAUAUAUGUGGAAUAAAUUUGUGGAUUGUUUAAGCUUGCAGGUUUAACCAGGGAUGAAGUUAUGAAAAAGGUUUUCCCUUUAUCUUUGAAGGCAAAAUCAUUGGCAUGGUAUAGGCUAUGUGAUGAUAUUGGAUCUUGGAAUUGGAAUCGUUUGAAAUUGGAGUUCCACCAAAAAAAUUAUCCUAUGCAUCUAGUUCAUCGUGAUCGGAAUUAUAUAUAUAAUUUUUGGCAUCAUGAAGGAGAAAGUAUCGCUCUAGCUUCGGGGAGGCUUAAGUCAAUGUUAUAUUCAUGCACGAAUCAUGAGCUCUCAAGAGAAAUUAUUAUCCAGAAUUUUUAUGCUCGGCUUUCUCGUGAUGAUCAAACUAUGCUUGAUACUUCUUAUGUCGGUUCUUUUAUGAAGAAUACUAUUGAAUUCCAGUGGGAUCUUUUGGAAAGAAAUAAACGCAACUCUGAAGAUUGGGAACUUGACGAAGGUAAAGAGUCAGGUAUUAAACUUAAGUAUGAUUGUGUUAAAUCUUUUAUGGAUACCGAUGCUUUUCAAAAGUUUAGCACUAAAUAUGGACUUGACUCGGAGAUAGUUGCCUCCUUUUGUGAAUCAUUUGCUACUCAUGUUGAACUCCCUAAAGAGAAGUGGUUUAAAUAUCAUCCACCUAUUAAAGAACUGGUACCAGUUAAAGAAGAAACUAUACUUUAUAAUGUUGAUCCAGUUGUUCAUUCUGCUUAUAUAGAGAAACCACCUUUCCCUAUUAGGAUAAAGGAACAUGCUAAAGUUUCAACUGUGGUUAACAAAAGCUAUAUUAGAACACCUAAACCUGAUGAACAAAUUAAAGUAGAACCUGGCAUUGCUAUGGUUAAAUAUCUCUUGGAAGAAGAUAUAGAUGGGCAUGUUAUUUACUUCUGUGAAGAAGCUGCUAGAAUUGCCAAACCUGGUAAAAAGGAUAAACAUAGACCUAUUGUUGGCAUGCCUGUCAUCUCAGUUAAAAUAGGAGAUCACUGUUAUCAUGGUUUAUGUGACAUAGGUGCUAGUGUGAGUGUUAUUCCUUACACCUUAUAUCAAGAAAUUACGAAUGAUAUAGCACCUGCAGAAAUAGAAGCCAUAGAUGUUACUAUUAAACUUCCUAAUAGAGACACCAUAUCACCAAUUGGGAUUGUUAGAGAUGUUGAAGUCUUGUGUGGGAAAAUAAAAUACCCUACUGAUUUUCUUGUUCUUGGUUCCCCAUAAGAUGACUUUUGUCCAUUUAUCUUUGGUAGACCUUUCUUGAACACCGUUAAUGCUAAGAUAGAUUGUGAGAAACAAACUGUCGGUGUUAGUUUUGGUAAUGAGUCUCAUGAGUUUAAUUUUUCCAAGUUUAGUAGAAAGCUUCAUGAAAAAGAAUUGCCUAGUAAGGACGAAUUAAUUGGUCUUGCUUCUAUUGAUGUACGACCUACUAAUCCUUUAGAACAAUAUUUGCUAGACCAUGAAAAUGAUUUACAUAUGCAUGAAAGAAAUGAAAUAGAUAAAAAUUUCUUUGAACAACGUCCUCUGCUUAAACACAAUUUGCCUAUUGAAACUCUAGGAGGUCCUCCUCCACCUAAAGGUGAUCCUGUGUUUGAAUUAAAGCAAUUGCCAGACACUUUGAAAUAUGCUUAUCUUGAUGAAAAGAAAAUAUAUCCUGUUAUUAUUAGUGCUAACCUUUCAGAACAUGAAGAAGAAAGAUUAUUGAAAGUUCUAAGGAAGCACCAAGCUGCUAUUGGAUAUACUCUUGAUGAUUUAAAGGGCAUUAGUCCCACUCUAUGUCAGCACAAAAUUAAUAUGGAACUUGAUGCUAAACCCGUUGUUGAUCACCAACGUCGGUUAAAUCUGAAGAUGAAAGAGGUGGUAAGAGCAGAAAUAUUAAAACUUCUGGAAGCAGGUAUAAUCUAUCCUAUGGCUGAUAGUAGAUGGGUAAGUCCUGUUCAUUGUGAAGGAGGUAUAACUGUCGUUCCUAAUGAUAAGAAUGAACUUAUUCCACAAAGAAUUGUUACAUGCUAUAGAAUGGUAAUUGAUUUUAGAAAAUUAAACAAAGCAACUAGAAAAGAUCAUUACCCUUUGCCUUUUAUUGAUCAAAUGCUUGAAAUAUUAUCUAAGCACACACACUUUUGCUUCCUUGAUGGAUAUUCUGGCUUUUCACAAAUACCUGUUUCUCAACCUGAUCAAGAAAAGACCACUUUUCCUUGUCCUUUUGGAACCUAUGCUUAUAGACGUAUGCCUUUUGGUUUAUGUAAUGCACCUGCUACCUUUCAAAGAUGUAUGACUGCUAUAUUCUCUGACUUUUGUGAAAAGAUUGUUGAGGUUUUCAUGGAUGACUUUUCUGUUUAUGGGAAGUCUUUUGAUGAUUGUUUAAGUAAUCUUGAGCGAGUUUUGCAGAGAUGUGAACAAACAAACCACGUCUUGAAUUGGGAGAAGUGCCACUUUAUGGUUAAUGAAGGCAUUAUCUUGGGUCAUAAAAUUUCUGAAAGGGGUAUUGAAGUGGACCAAGCUAAGGUUGAUGCAAUUGAGAAAAUGCCAUGUCCUAAAGAUAUAAAAGGUAUUUGUAGUUUCCUAGGUCAUGCUGGUUUCUAUAGGAGAUUUAUCAAAGAUUUCUCUAAAAUUUCUAGGCCUCUCACUAGUCUCUUGCAAAAGGAUAUUCCCUUUGUUUUUUAUGAUGAUUGUUUAGAAGCCUUUGAAACACUCAAGAAAGCCUUAAUAUCUGCACCUAUUGUUCAACCACCUGAUUGGAACACUCAAGAAAGCCUUAAUAUCUGCACCUAUUGUUCAACCACCUGAUUGGAACAUGCCUUUUGAAAUUAUGUGUGAUGCUAGUGAUUAUGUUGUUGGUGCUGUUCUAGGACAAAGAGUUGAUAAAAAAUUGAAUGUUAUUCAUUAUGCUAGUAAAACUCUAGACAAUGCUCAAAGAAACUAUGCUACUACUGAAAAAGAAUUCUUAGCAGUGGUAUUUGCUUGUGACAAAUUUAGACCUUAUAUUGUUGAUUCCAAAGUAACUGUUCACACAGACCAUGCUGCUAUUAAAUAUAUUAUGGAAAAGAAAGAUGCUAAACCUAGACUUAUUCGAUGGGUUCUCUUGUUACAAGAAUUUGAUUUAGAUAUCAUUGAUAGAAAAGGAGCUGAGAACCCGGUAGCUAAUAAUUUGUCUAGGCUUGAAAAUGUGCUUGAUGACCCACUACCUAUUGAUGAUAGUUUUCCUGAUGAGCAGUUAGCUGCAAUAAAUGUUUCUCAUAGUACUCUUUGGUAUGCUGAUUAUGCUAAUUACAUUGUUGCUAAAUAUUUACCACCUAGCUUUACAUACCAACAAAAGAAAAAAAUUCUUCUAUGAUUUAAGACAUUACUUUUGGGAUGACCCACAUCUCUAUAAAGAAGGAGUAGAUGGUAUUAUUAGACGUUGUGUACCUGAGCAUGAACAGGGACAAAUCCUACGGAAAUGUCACUCUGAAGCUUAUGGAGGGCAUCAUGCUGGAGAUAGAGCUGCUCAUAAGGUAUUGCGGUCUGGAUUUUAUUGGCCUACUCUCUUCAAGGAUGCUCGUAAGUUCGUCUUAUCUUGUGAUGAAUGUCAAAGAAUAGGUAAUAUCGGUAAGCGUCAAGAAAUGCCUAUAAAUUAUUCACUUGUUGUUGAACCAUUUGAUGUUUGGGGAUUUGAUUACAUGGGACCUUUUCCUUCCUCUAAUGGGUAUACACAUAUUUUGGUUGCUGUUGAUUAUGUUACUAAAUGGGUAGAAGCUAUUCCAACUAGUAGUGCUGAUCACAACACCUCUACUAAAAUGCUUAAGGAAGUUAUUUUCCCAAGGUUUGGAGUCCCUAGAUAUUUAAUGACUGAUGGUGGUUCACACUUUAUUCAUGGUGCUUUUAGUAAAAUGCUUGCCAAGUAUGAUGUUAAUCAUAGAAUUGCAUCACCCUAUCAUCCUCAGUCUAGUGGUCAAGUUGAACUUAGCAAUAGAGAAAUAAAAUUAAUUUUGCAAAAGACUGUCAAUAGGUCCAGGAAGAAUUGGUCUAAGAAAUUAGAUGAUGCACUUUGGGCUUAUAGAACAGCAUAUAAAAAUCCUAUGGGCAUGUCUCCUUAUAAAAUGGUUUAUGGAAAAGCUUGUCAUUUGCAUCUUGAGUUAGAACAUAAAGCAUUUUGGGCAGUUAAAGAACUCAACUAUGAUUUCAAACUUGCUGGUGAAAAGAGGUUAUUUGAUAUUACCUCUCUAGAUGAAUGGAGAACCCAAGCUUAUGAAAAUGCAAAAUUAUUCAAAGAAAAAGUUAAAAGAUGGCAUGACAAAAGAAUUCAAAAGCGUGAGUUUAAAGUCGGAGAAUAUGUUCCUUUGUACAAAUCUAUUUUCAGAUUCUUUGCAGGAAAACUCCUCUCGAAAUGGGAAGGCCCACAUGUCAUCGAGGAGGUUUACCGGUCUGGAGCCAUCAAAAUAAAUAAUCCCGAAGGUACUAACCCGAAGGUUGUCAAUGGGCAACGAAUAAAGCAUUAUAUCUCAGGUACGCCCAUUAACGUUGAAAGUAAUAUUAUCCAAACUUUGACACCGGAAGAACACAUAAAAGAGUCCUUCUGGAACACUCCAGAAUCGUGAAAAUAAGGAGGUACGUGAUACGGUAAGUAAACGUACUCCGAAAAUCCACAAAAAUAGCUUGUAUCAGUUUUGGAAUAUUUAAGAAUUUUGGAAAUAAAGAAGCUUCCAGGAAGCGUCCCCUGGUGGGCACAAGACACCAGGGCACGCCAGGCUUGCCUGGCGCGCCCAGGUGGGUUGUGCCCACCUGGGACACCUUCUGGACUCCGCUUUUCUUCCGUAUGCUUGUCCCCCAAGAUAAAAAUUCUAUAUAUACUUCCCGAACCUGUUAACCUCCGUAUCAUGGAGAAAUCCUCUGUUCUCUUUUUCCUUGUUAUUUUCUGUCAGAUCCCAUCUACCAUGGCCUCUUCAAGCUCCUCCAAGGACAAGUUCUUCAAGAACGUCAUCAACCCAUAUUUGCGGGAGGUGGUGCAGUCCCCUCAAACCAUCCAGAUGCAUGAGGGGGUGUUGUACAUCCACGAUGAGCAAGGUCCCAAGGGCACGGGAACCGUGGAGGCCAGGCUUGAAGCCAUGGAGCAGGAAGUCUUCUGGUGCAAGGGGAUGGUGGAGCAUGGGAUCAAUGCCAAUCACCUCAUGAUCACGAACCUUUCCCGUGAUCUCAAGGUGGAUGGCAAGCCCAUGAAGGACAUCAUCUUCACCCUCAACGAGCAAAUCAAUUUUCUCCAAAUCCAGAUCUAUGAUCUUCAAAACCAAGUCUUUGAAUAUGAGGCGAGGUUUAAAGGUAUGAGUUUGGCUACUUGUUGCAGGACCCGUGAGACUCACUCCUCCUCUUAUGAUGGUGGACUACUGCCAUGGAAAUCCGAGGACAAGAUCUCUUCUUCAUCACCACCAUCUUCUUCACUGCCAAAAGGGAAUUGAGUAUCGGGUAUGGGCACUCCCCUUGGUUUCCGCCAAGCUUGGGGGAGGUGCCCCGGUAUCGUAUCAUCCCACCAUCUUUUUGCUUUUACUUAUCUUAGUUCGAUCUUUUGCUUUAGAUGAAUAAAAGUUUAGUUCGAUCCUUUCCUCUUUGAGAGUUUGCUUAGUGAUCUAUCCUUGUAAUCGUGUGCAAGCUAUAUAAUAAAGUUUAGUUUGAGUUUUUGCUUUCUUUACUUUCAUGUUGCAAAUAAAGAAAAGAAAUAAGAAAGGAAAAAGAGAAAGUAAAUAAAUAAAAGAAAGGAAAUAAAUCAAUAAGAUCAUAUACUAAUCCUAUGGUAGGUGAUGUCACCACACAAGGAAAAGUAUAAGUAGGAAAUUUUAUUAGAGAUUGACAAACAUAGCAUUAGUCAAUGAUGCAACUCAUGAAAGAAUUAAUAAGGGAAGAGAAGAUUCACGUAUAAAUAUACUAUCCUAGAAAUCUUUUCUGAUUGUGAGCCCUCAUCAAAAUAUUAUAUGCCAAAAUUGUUGACGUUGGACAAGGAAGACAACGUAAUGGUUUAUGUUUGUUUAUAUUCACACAGAAGUCAUAUUGUCAUAGAUCCUUCAACAUGUGGUGCUUGCCCCUAUCUUUGCUAGCCAAAAAUUCCGCACUAAGUAGAGAUACUACUUGUGCAUCCAAAAACCCUUAAACCCAAAUCCUAUUUUCAAGUGUCCACCAUACCUACCUAGGGAUUGAGCAAGAUCCCUCAAGUAAGUUGUCAUCGGUGCAAAAAGUCCAUAAAAAUUGCUUCUAAAAGUGUGAGAUCCUUUAGUGUAAGAGAAAAUUGAGCGUUGUACGAACUUGGAUGACAAAGAAUAAAAGCGACAGACUGCAUAAUAAAGGUUGUCAUCUUAAGGGGCAAUACAACGUGACGUUCUCUAGCACUAAGGGAUUGAGCAUACAAACAACUAAGAGCAUGGCAACCUCUGCUUCCCUCUGCGAAGGGCCUAUCUUUUACUUUUACGUAUUUACUUUUAUGCAAAGAGUCAAAGUUUUCCUUCUAUUCCUUUUUAUUUUUCUCCUUUGGCAAGCAUCAUGUGGUGAGGAAAGAUCUAGGCACAUAUGUCCAGUUGAAUAUAGAUAGCAUGAGUUAUUAUUGUUGACAUCACCCUUGAGGUGAGUAUGUUGGGAGGUGAAACUUUAAGCCCUAUCUUUCUAUGUGUCUGGUUGAAAUGUUUUGCUCAUGGGUACGAGGUGAGUGUUAGCAAUCAUAGAAGACGAUAUGAUGGUUGAGUAUGUGAACUUGCCUAAAGGCUCCGACAUGUGACCCUUCCUGAAAAGAUGAUGAAUUAUAGUUGCAAAGUUGACUGAGAACAUAGUUUGUUGGUUUCUAAUAGAGUUUUUGCUUUAUACUUCGAUUGUGCGAUGAACUAUUACUUAUUCAUGAGAAUCAUAUGAUAAAAGUUCUAUGAUAAAAGCCCUAUGUUUAAUUUUGUUGCUGUUAUAAUAAUCAACAUGAUGCUUCUAUGUCCGUAUUUUGUUUUUAUCGACACCUCUCUCUCAAAGCAUCUGGACAUGUUUUUCGAUUUCGGUUUUCGCUUGAGGACAAGCGAGGUCUAAGCUUGGGGGAGUUGAUACGUCCAUUUUGCAUCAUGUUUUCUUACUGUUAUUUAUGAUGUUUUUAUCCAUAAUAAUGUUUUUUGCAGUAAUUCUAAUGCCUUUUCUCUCAUAAUUUGCAAGGUACACACCAAGAGGGAGAAUUUCGGCAGCUGGAAAUCUGGACCUGGAAAAGCUACGUCAGGCCACCUAUUCUGCACAACUCCAAACAAGAUGAAACUUCACGGAGAUUUUUUGUGGAAUAUUUAAGAAUUAUUGGAGCAAAUAACUACCAGCGGGGGGCACCAGGUGGGCACAACCCACCUGGGCGCGCCAGGGAGCCCAGGCGUGCCCUGGUGGGUUGUGCUCAUCCAGGCCCACCUCCGGUGCCCAUCUUAUGGUAUAUAGGUCAUUUGACCUAGAAAAAAUAUGGAGAGGACUUUUGGGACGAAGCGCCGCCGCCUCGAGGCGGAACUUGGGCAAGAGCACUUUUGCCCUCCGGUGGAGCAAUUCCGCCGGGGGAACUUCCCUCCCGGAGGGGGAAAUCAUCGUCAUCAUCAUCACCAACAACUCUCCCAUCUUGGGGAGGGCAAUCUCCAUCAACAUCUUCAACAGCACCAUCUCAUCUCAAACCCUAGUUCAUCUCUUGUGUUCAAUCUUGUUACCGGAACUAUAGAUUGGUGCUUGUGGGUGACUAGUAGUGUUGAUUACAUCUUGUAGUUGAUUACUAUAUGGUUUAUUUGGUGGAAGAUUAUAUGUUCAGAUCCAUUAUGCUAUUUAAUACCCCUCUGAUCUUGAGCAUGAUUAUCAUUUCUGAGUAGUUACUUUUGCUCUUGAGGUCACGGGAGAAAUCAUGUUGCAAGUAAUCAUGUGAAUUUGAUAUGUGUUCGAUACUUUGAUAGUAUGUAUGUUGUUAUUCCCUUAGUGGUGUCAUGUGAAUGUCGACUACAUGACACUUCACCAUAUUUGGGCCUAAGGGAAUGCAUUGUGGAGUAGCAAUUAGAUGAUGGGUUGCGAGAGUGACAGAAGCUUGAACCCCAGUUUAUGCGUUAUUCCGUAAGGGGCCGAUUGGAUCCAAAAGUUUAAUACUAUGGUUAGAAUUUAUUCUUAAUACUUUUCUCGUAGUUGCGGAUGCUUGCGGGAGGGUUAAUCAUAAGUAGGAGGUUUGUUCAAGUAAGAACAACACCUAAGCACCGGUCCACCCACAUAUCAAAUUAUCAAAGUAGCGAACACAAAUCGAACCAACAUGAUGAAAGUGACUAGAUAAAAUUCCCGUGUACCCUCAAGAACGGUUUGCUUAUCAUAAGAGACCGUUUUGGCAUGUCCUUUGCCUCAAAAGGAUUGGGCUUCCUUGCUGCAUAUUUUUUAGUGCUAUCGCUACUUGCUCGUUACAAAUUAUCUUGCUAUCAAACUACUCUGCUACUCACAAUUUCAGCACUUGCAGACAUUACCUUACUAAAAACUACUUGUCAUUUCCUUCUGCUCCUAGUUGGGUUCGACACUCUUACUUAUCGAAAAGAGCUACAAUUGAUCCCCUAUACUUGUGGGUCAUCAGUACUCCUAUAUUAUUUGCACAGGAGAAUUUCAAGGCAUCUAAAUAUUUGCAUAAAAUGUUUUGCACACAAGGAAAAUCAAAUUGUACACCUAUACUACUCCAGCACAUCAACAACACAACGAGUACUCCUAGUCUUAUACUCCAAUGAGAGAAGCAUUACCUCAGGAGUACUGCUACUUCUGAGCUGCGUUGGGAUUUUCCUUGAAGAGGAGGGAAGAUGCAGUACAGUAGAGAUAAGUAUUUCCCUCAGUGAGAACCAAGGUUUAUCGAACCAAUAGGAGAAUCAUGCAAAGCCUCGUGAACAGCACCUGCACACACAAAAGCAAGUACUUGCACCCAACACGGGCAAGAGGGUUGUCAAUCCCCUUGAACUCGUUACUUGCAAGGAUGAAAUCUUGUAUAGGUAGAUGGAUAAAUUGCAAAACAAAAUAAAAGUAAUAAAAUUGCAACAAGGUAUUUUGGUUUUUUUAAAUAUGAUUAAAGUAGACCCGGGGGCCAUAGUUUUCACUAGAGGCUUCUCUCUCGAACACAUAGCAUAUGGUGGGUGGACAAAUUACUGUUGGGCAAAUGACAGAAAAGCGCAUAGUUAUGACGAUAUCCAAGGCAAUGAUCAUGUAUAUAGGCAUCACGUCCGAGACAAGUAGACUAACUCCUGCCUGCAUCUACUAUUACUCCACCAAUCGACUGCUAUCCAGUAUGCAUCUAUGGUAUUAAGUUCAUGAAAAAUGGAGUAACGCCUUAAGCAAGAUGACAUGAUGUAGACAAAGUAAACCCAAACAAUAUGAAUAAACCCCGUCAUUUUUAUCCAUAAUGGCAACAAUACAAAUAUGUGUCUUGUCCCCUUCUGUCACUGGGAUAUAGAGCCUGCAAGGUUGAACCCAUUACAAAGCACCUCUCCCACUAAAGAUAAAUCAAUUUAGUUGGUCAAACCAAAUAGAUAGAUAGGAGAGAAAUACAAAGCUAUAACAAUCAUGCAUAAUAAAGUUCAGAAAAGACACAGUUACUUCUCAUGAAUAUUCAGAUCAUAAACCCACAAUUCAUCGGAUCCCAACAAACGCACCGUAAAAUAAGAUUAUAUCGGAUAGAACUCCAAGAACAUCGAGGAGAACAUUGUAUUGAAGAUUAAAGAGAGAUAAAAAAACAUCUAGCUACUAGCUAUGGACCGAUAGGUUUGUGGUGAACUACACAUGCAUCAUCAGAAGACGGCAAGGAUGAUGUAGAAGCCAUCCGUGAUCGAUUCCCCCUCCGAUGGAGUACCGGAACAGGCCUCCAGAUGGGAUCGCGAAAGAACAUAAACUUGCGAUGGUGGGAAAAGUAUUUUGGGUGGCUCUCUAUUGGUUUCCCAAUAUUAGAGAAUUUAUAGAGGUGGAAUUAGGUCAGACAGAGCCUCAUGGGGCCCAUAAGGUAACAGGUCAACCCCCCAGGGCGCGGCCUGUUGCCUUGUCGUCUCCUCGAUUGCCGUUUGGUCUCCUCCCAAAACUUCUAGGGUCUCUUUUGUCUAGAAAAAAAUCAUCAAAAAGUUUCGUAGCGUUUGGACUCCGUUUGGUACUGAUUUUCUGGAAAACCAAAAAUAAGCAUAAAACAACAACUGGUACUAGGCACUGGGUUAAUAGGUUAAAACCCAAAAAUAAUAUAAAAUAGCAAAAAAGUCAUAUAAAAUAUCCAAGAUUGAUACUAUAAUAGCAUGGAACAAUAAAAAAUUAUAGAUACGUUGGAGACAUAUCAAGUACCUAAUUUUGAACAUUUUAAAUAAUAUUCAAAUGACAGGAGUAGCAACACAUGAGUACACCACAUAGGUACUCCUGGAGUAAUGCUUCGUCUUGUCUCUGGUGGUCUUAGGGCCAUGGCGACACGGUGAAUCCUGACCCUUGCCUGUGGGAGGGCUCCGUUUUAGAUGUUUCUUCGGGUCUUGUUAAGGUUUGUGUCCUGCUCAGGAAGACGAGAAAACGACUACUCCCUGAAGAUGGAAUAAGGUUCUCUGCGCCUAGCCCCCAUCCAGAUGGUGCGUCUAGAAUCGUCGGUGCGCGUAUGGAAGUGUAUCUCCGGCGGAUCUAUCCUUGGUGGGUUUGCUCGGAUUUAGUCGUAGUUUGUCUACGUUCGUGCCUUCAAGUUGAAUCCUUCCGAUCUACGGUACUCUUCAAUGGCGGCAAUUGUUGUUCUGAGGGGCUGGUCCUAUGGGGCCUUAGCAUGACGACUUCCUGACUAUCUACUACAAUUUUUGCCCAGCUUCGGCGAGAGAGGGGUGAUGGCAGCAGCGCACCUUCGGCUCGCUUCAGUGCUUGUAGUCAUCGCUAGGUGGUCUAAGGAUCUAGAUGUAUUUUUUAUGGAAUCGAUAAGUGUCGAACAUGCCGGAUUCUGUCUUCUGGCGCCGAAUGCACUCAUUGUUGUUGUUUUGCGUGCACGAAUCUUGGUGCAGGGUAUUGUGUCCAUGUCAACGUGUUGAAGUGUUCGGGGUAUUAUGAUUUGAUCGCAAAUGACAGCCUUAUCCUCCUUCCCUUUCGAUCUUCCCUGACCCACGCACCACUCUUCUAACAUCCACAUUCCCUCCCGCAUCUCUCUCUCUCUUCUGUGACUCCCCCGGCGAGCUGCGGUGGCAGCGUCAGGAACCGGAGAAGAUCUUCGGCUUGGGGUGGGCGCGCGGCAUGGUGGGCUCCGGGGGACGCGCAAUGCAUGGGGUCGAUGUGCGUCGGCCGAGGAGGAGGGCGGUGGCUGCCGAUGGUCGCCGCGCCGUCGUGCAACACCACCGCACCACCCCAAGGAGUUCCCGCACCACCCUCCCGGCAUUGUGCACCGCCCCCACCCCCCUGAGAUGCAACCCGCUCAACCUCAGCGACGCAACUGCACCCCACCCGUGCAAUGGCGGCAACCUCGGCAGCGUAGCGAAGUGGUGGCGGGAGAGGUGGAGUGGCCUUUGACGCCAAUCGCGUGCGGCGAUGACUGAUAUCUCCUUUUAUUGAUCCAGUAUUUGAACAUAAAAGAGUAUCCCACACCUAUUUCCUUGAGGUGACACUGGGUUAUCGAACCCACGAGAGGAAGAUUCCCUUGAAGCGAUGGUCUCUAGCAAGCUUUUGUCGAAGUGUCAAAUCCAUCUUUUGACCAGAUCAACAAGCAAAUAGUGAUUCAAACACUUAUAAUAAAAAGAAGUACAUGUAUGAGGUCUUAUGCUUACAACCUUGUAUUUACGCUGGGAUCAAAUAAAAUAUUAAUUUGUGCACUAGAAGUCACACGUCGAGAUGUGCUUGUUACGAAUCGAAGUGGGGGAUGUGUCCAAUAACAUCUUGACCGGCACGAGUCCUGCAUGAAGACUAGUUUUCCUACCGCGGGCCCUAUCCGUCGCGCGUGGUUGCCUCGAUAAUUAAGAUAAUGAAAUCAGACAAGAGCUUUGGGCGUUUAACGACUACACCUCAUUUCUCCCCAAGGAUAUGAUCCAUGUUACCCUACUGAACCUUACUGUCAACGGUGUUCAGUAUAAAAAAUCACGGUCUCCUUGCUCCUAGCCUCAUCAAUGCUUGAUCUCCAUGAUCUUGGGUACCUUACAAGACAAGAGACAUCUUCACAGAAAAAUUUUAUUUCACACAUACGGGACGUUAUGUCAAAGUCUUCCAUUGAUCCCCUCAAUAAAUACCUUAGGUUGCAAGGCUUAUGCCCCAACCCAUACCUUACUGAACUACUCACAUGUGAAGAUCAUAUCGUGAGAAGAAAACAUUGAAGAACACAUCUUGAGAUUGAUUGACUGCAAUAUGUCUUACAAUGGAUGCCUUGUGCGAUGCAUGAUUACAAGUAUGAAUGGAAUGGAUGAGCAUUAUGGUGGUGGUGAAGAUGGCUAUGGCCAUGGCGGUGGCUAGGGUUUGUGGAUGGGGAUGAUCAUGAAGAGGUUCUGGCUUCUGUGCUCAUCUCCUGGUUGACAUUUCGACGAGGUUCCUUUAACGAAAGUUGUUCGGGUGGAUGAUCUGCCUCGAAAUUCACGCCAAACGGGCACUCGUGCCCGUAUGAGACUUCGUCUUUUGUGCUGACUUUGCACAUACGCUUCCUGUUGAUUCAUUCUCCUUCCAUUCCAUUUUCAUACGUGAUUUCUUCCCGUUUUAGCCCAUUUCAUGUGGAAACACAUCAAAGAGAGGAUUUGUGAAAUCUGUUGCAUUCAUUAGUCAUUGAUACUAAUAUCGGAGCGAAUAUCUCUUUUUAAUUAAAAUAUCUCGAUUUAAACAAAGGUGAAAUGAGUGUAAAAAUAUUACUCAUCAACGACAACCACCUCCAGGCUACUGCCGCUCCCCCUGAAGUGGGGCUGCGUCGACGACGCUCGCGGAAAUGACGACCAUGUCCAUGCAUCUGGCGCUCCCUGACGUGGGGCUGCGCUUCGAGGAAGACCGCGGGGACAAUGACCACUCCAGGCAUCUGCGCUCCCCGAUGUGGUCACAAAUGCUAGCUGCCCCGCUCCGGCGGGGUGCUUGAAGAUCAGCGCCCGUGUCCUAGUCAGAGCUUUGCUCGGUAAUGCCCAGCCCACUACUAUUUUUUUGUUCUAGCGAUGCAUACAUCAGAAGUGAAUCGGCUGGGCAGAGGUGAACUAGGUCAUUUUGUUUUGAAUGUGUCUACUGAAUCAAUAGAACAACCUUUUUUGUGUUUUUCGCUAUCACAGUUUGAAAGUUAUUUGUUUUGGGUGAUCUGAAUAAAACAAAGAUGCGUACCUUUUUCUGUGCAUUUCGUUACCACUGACUGGAAAUCAUUUGUUUUGUGUGAUCUGAAUAAAACAGAGAUGCAUACUAGUCUUCCGGGAUGGAAUGGAAAUUUUUGUCCCUAGAUUUUGUUGUAGUUGUGACAGGCUAUGAGAUUUGAGAAGAAAAUAAAUGAUUUGCAGCUAGAUUGAUUAGGCCAUGUGCGCCGAAUUUCUGUAGUGGGGAAAGUGAUUUUUAGAGUUUAGGGAUAUGGAGUAAUCAAAGCUUGUUUUUCAUUUAGAGAGAAAGAUUCAGGACUAAACAUGUGCUCUACUAUACAAUUUUUCUUAAAUAUGUCAUCUCAUCGUACAUUUUUUCUUAAAUUUUCCUGGAAGAUGGCAAAUAUAGUUAUCGAAUCAUGGCAAAUUUUGUUUUCGGGUCAUGGAAAAUUCAUUGCUUUCUUGCCAUGGCAACUUUUCAUUUUGGAUCAUGGCACAACUUUACUGUUUCUACCAUGGCAUUUUUUUGGUAGACCAUGGCAACUAAUCUUAUACUUUUUGCCAUGUAAACAUUAAAAAAAUUAGUUAAUUGAUCAUGGCAAAUUUAGUUUACGCAUCAUAGGAAAUUUGCUUCCUAGAAGAUGGCAAAUGUAGUUAUCGAAUCAUGGCAAAUGUAGUUCUCGGAUCAUGACAAAUUCAUUGCUUUCUUGCCAUGGCAACUUUUGAUUUUUAAAAUUGUCAUUGCAAUUCUUAAAAUUUUCAAAAAAAACACUAAAUGCCAAAUAUUGUCAUGGCAAGUUUUACUAAUUAUUUACCUUUAUUAACAUGGCGAAUUUACCUAAAUCCCCAUGGCAUUUUUUUAACAUUUAUUGCCAUGGCAAGUUUUACUAUUUAUUGCCCUGGCAAAUUUAUCUUUUAUUAACAUGGCAAAUUUACCUAAAUCCCCAUGACAAUAUUUAACUUUUAUUUCCACGGCAAGUUUUACUAUUUAUUUGACUUUUAUUAACAUGGCAAAUUUAUCUAAAUCCUCAUGGCAAUAUUUGAACUUUUAUUGCCAUGGCAAGUUUUACUAAUUUUUUGCCAUGGCUGAUAGACCUUCAUUAACAUGGCAAAAUUACCUAAAUCCCCAUGGUAAUAUUUAACUUUUAUUGCCAUGGCAAGUUUUACUUUUUAUUUUACCGAUGACUAAUUGACCCUUAUUAACACGGCAAAUUUACCUAAAUUUCCAUGGCAAUUUUAACUUUUAUUGCCAUGGCAAGAUUUACUAUUUAUUUGACCAUUAUUAACAUGGCAGAUUUUACUUUUUUUCCAUGUCAAAUAUAUGCAAAUUUUAAUAUGAUUUUGGUUAUGGCGUUUCUCUAUGUUCUUUUUUUCAACAUUUUGUAUUUUUUCACACACGGCAUUUUUCGCAUACAUUACAUGUAAAAUUAAGUAAAAGUACCAUGACAUUUUUUGCUAUGAAUUUGCCAUUGCAAAUUAUUUUGUUUGUAUGAUGGAAAUUGCCAUGACUUUUUUUCUUUUUUGGGUUAUUGUUAAAAUAUAUUCUUGUUCACCCAUGGCAAUUUUGUGCGUUUAAAAGUUGAUGGUAUUUUUUUUUUACUUAACAAAGCAAAAAAUUGGGAUUUUUUAAUCACAGCAAAAGAAAAGAAAAAUCUGGGCUUUUUUCUUCUAUUUUUCGUUGCUGGUCUUUUUGAUUCACCUUUUGAGUUGUUAGGGGCUGGGGAGGCGUUCGCGCUGUGGCUUUCUCCUCCCGAACAAACGUUCCCGCAAAUAUCAAAACACAAAGAGAAGGAUAAAUGGCGUGCGUCUGGAGUUGAUAAAUUGCAAAGCUUCACGAAAGUACAAUGUGAGAUUCCUCGGGUUCCGAUUCCCAGUUGACAGCAGCCACGGCACAAGUUUCCUCCCGAACAGUACAAUUUGUCAUCAGGGUCACCAACUUGAGCAUGAAACGCGUGGUAUAUAUAACAGCAGUUCACGUUCAGCACUGCACGGCAGCAUAAAGAGAGAUUCUUCGAGUCUCAAUUAGUAGCAGAUAAAUUUUCCAAUCAGCAUCUAGACCAGAUAAAUCUCAAACCAAGAAUCUACUUUACCCGAGACUUUGCCGUGCGCUCAUUGGGCUCAAGCAUAUGCGAUAAACCGAAGUUCUAUCCGCCGCGCCAUCGCCUUCUUUCCCUCUUUAUAAAAGGCCAGCAAGGAGCUCAAGCUUCUUCCAACACCACAAUGGCUCACAACUUCGUGCCUGAUGCAUGGGGUUGGAUCAGCAGCCUGCCCCCAUUCUCCCAGUGGCGCACCAACACCAUGUCCCUCUGCAUCUGCGCCACGC